CUAUGGAACGGGGAGGAUUCAUUUUCUUUUCAAAGCCCUCGUCAAACUCAAUGCUAAGUUUGACUGCUCCCUUCGGAGUGACAACAAGCCUUGUUUUCCCCUAAUGUGGAUCGGGGAGGAUUCCUUCUCUUUUCAAAGCCCUCAUCAAACUCGAUGCUGUGUUUAGAACGCUAAGAGUAGGUGGUCUGGUUUUGGUUAGGCCAAAAGUGAAGUUUUCCCCCAUUUUUUAUGGGCUUUUUCUAAUGUAUAUUGGAUAUGUUGUUUGAUUUUUUUUAUAGCUCUUGAUUGUCUUACUGUUUUAUGUUUUGCAUUGUCAAGUCUCUGUUUUCUUUCUUUGGUAUGCAAUGUGGUAACUAGGUCUUGCUAGAACCGGUAGGCUAACCUUUCUAUGGUUCUACAUUUAGUUCCUAAUUAAGUUUGAUUGCUCCCUUCGGAGUGACAAUAAGUUUUGUUAAUGUCGACCCUUUUCUAAAGGGAUUUAGUUCACUGUGGCUAGGCAAGAGGUUUCUAACUCAUGUUUGACAAGACAAAUUUGUUAAAACCAUCUUAGUUUCUAAAGAGUGCCUCCUAUCCCUUUUUUACUCUAUCUAGGCUAGGUUUGGACUAAGUGCAUCAUAGGUAAGUCACGACAAAGCAACAAAGGAAGACAAAGCUAGAAAAGUAUUCAUGCACUUAUUUAUUAUACAUGCAAUCAAGCAUUCACAACAUACAUACCAUUUUCUCAAUCAUGCAUUCACACCUCAAUAAGAAAUAGCUAAAAGGAGCUUACAACAAAAAAGACAGCCGCUUAUUCUCAAAUUUCAGCACAUAUACUCAUCAAAAUUUAGAAUUUCACAUUGCAAACCCGAGCUCAGUGCUCAAGGGUUGCCAAUCAUGCUUUUUAUGCAAGAUCUAAUUAAGCUAAGAAGGUAUAAUGCUCAUUUUGUAUGGAAAGAAUUCUGAAAUUUUUUUUAAAUUUGGGCAAAAUUUGAACCCCGAAGUUUAGACUAAACAUGCAAGCUAAGCAAGCUAUUACCCACACCCACUCAAAAAAUUGCUUUGUCUGUCCUAAAAGCUUUUGAAAAUCAAAGUAAAUGGAGAAAAAUAAGGGGGAACUUUGGACUCCCCUAGAAGGAUCGACAUCCUUGACUUUGGUUUGAAGCUUGCAUGGAUAAACCUUUUCAUUCCUUUUUAAUUGAUUAUUCAUCCUUGUUCCUGAAAAUCAAAGGAAAUUCUCUCAAUUUUAUAUAUUACUAAAAUUAGGAUACAUAUAAGUCUUAACUAGUCUAAUAGCACCCUCCAUUCAUCUUCCCCUACACUGGCUAUGGUAUCAAAAUUUUCAAUUAAGUAAUACGUCUACUAACGAACUUGAAAACAAAACACAUCACACUAAAAAACACAAACAUCACUUUAACCCAACAGAAGCUGCUCUUUUUACCCUUGCACUCACUAUCACAUUACUAUCAUGUUUGUCAACUGUCAAACUAACUCUUUUAAGUUAUUUAGUGUGACUACAAAGUUAUGAACACCAUAAUCUUAAUUAAAACCUUUUAAUAAACAAAUGCCAAGUUACUACUCAACAAUGGCAAGGAAUUCAAAAAACAUGACUGUAACGACCCAACUUUUCUAGGUAAGUCGAAGUCAUUAAUUUCAAAUAAGGACCUGAGUUUACACAAAAUCUCAAUCUCAAACAAUUUCAAAGUCUCAAGAAAAACAAAAAUUUAUACCUGGGCCCGGUUUAAAAUAACCAGCACCUUCAAGACAAAUUUACUAAUUCGUGAAUACAGUUCAACUAUAAAAUUUUCUAAACAAUCUCAAGUACUAAACAAAACACGUGAAACAAAACAUUUAGCGGAAGCAAUUUAAAAUAACCCCUAUGGCAAUCACGCUUCCUUUCUGCCCCUCGUCGGUUUGCCGUCUUUAUUACCUUUGCCUGAAAAUUAAACAUAAGGAGGGUGAGUAUAAAAAUACCCAGUACGAGACCCUCUACUGGUCCCGUCAGGGGAAAAUAAAUUGUUAACAUUCUAUUGGGACACCCUGUACAGUCACAGUCUUGUGAUCCCGUAGGAGGCACAUUUCAGUCUAACGCCCCGAGGGACGUACAUUUCAGUCUAGUGUUCUGCAGAAACACAUAUCAGUCUAAUGCUCUUGAAGGUGCAGAAUAAUUGGUGAUCCGUGUGACACCUACAAGGCACACAUCCCAAUAAAAGCUAACAAUUUUUCCCCUCAGUCCAUUCUAAACAUCUUAACAGUCAUUCACAGAUCAGUUAAACAUUCUCAUCACGUAAACUCUUUAUUUAACCUCAAACAGUCGUCUUACUCUAGUUUAGUCCAAGGUCAAUAAAAAAACAUAUCAUUACAUCAGUUAACAAGCUAAACAAUCAUAACCUCCUCCUCAGUCACCAAGGGCACCACCAUGACGUUUCUUCCGUUCACAAGCACACAACAUAACAGUAGAUUAUACACUCAGUCUAGACAACAAUCAAUCUACUAAUCAAAUCCACACUUUAUAUAAGCAACAUCUACGAGAUUCAGUCGUUUCCACAUCCUUAUCUUUGUACACAUACAUAACUAGACAGUCACAACAUAUACUCAACCACAGUCUACAUCAAUCCAUGCACAUAUAUGUAUUAAUUUCUCCCAGUCAAACAUAGCAAACAUUAAACUUUAAGUCAAUGCCCAAACAUACAUCAUAACAGUCAUCUCUACUCAGUUCAAAUCAAUACAUCUUAAUUAGUCAUUAUAUAUUAAUUUUGUUGUUGAGUCUAGUAGAAAAUCCCUUACUUUCAAGUUAGUUAAGCUCCUUAACCACGUUGAAGUCUACGAAGAACGAACCUAAACAUUAAGACAAUUUCUCAAUAAUUCUCUUCAACGCAUCAAUCAUUUAAAUUCAACCCAAUGUGAUUUUUUUUUUACAACUUACCCAAAUCUUCACAAAACGAGUUCCAACUAGAAUCAAUUGUUUGCUGCGAACCCAAUGAAUUCGAGUGUUACCUUCAACCUAUAAUCGAACAGUAAACUAUUUAUCCAACCAAUUAAUCCAGCAAUAUUACUUGAGUUUAUUUUGGAAACAGUUACAAAUUUCAUAACUUCAAUCUUACCAAUCAAAAUUUAAUGACUCGUGGCAAAGCAGGAACGACAGCGAACAACCCAAUCGAAUGGCGUGGGUUUGCUACCUGCGGCAGGACGAAGAAGGAACUCGACGCGCAGAAAGUUGGAUCUGGGGUCUUUAGUUCGGUUCACGGUAGCGAAUUAAAACCUGAUUGCGCGGACGUCAAAGGUGUUAUUCGCGGAAGAAGUCGAGCAGCAGCUUUGCGAAGAGACGACGUGCGACGGAGAGACUGUAUACAGACGGACGGAGAGUCGCGCGGCAGUGCAGAAAACGGAGGAGAAAGGAAUGGGCGGCGGCUGGGCUUGGCUUCGACGGAGACAGAGGCGAUUAGGACGGGGCACGGCGACGCAGAUCUGGACGACGGCGCGGAGACAGAGGUUGCGCGGCGCUGGGCAGAGGGUCAAACGGCGCUGGGCGAAGGGUCACACGGCGCUGGGCGGAAGGUCACACGGCGGCCUUGCUUCGCGAACAGAGAUGGCGGCCGACGGUUGCAGCGGCGGCUGGGUAUGGUAGAAAAGAAAGAGAAACGGAAGAAGAAUAGGGGCGGCGACCGUGGAUCGGAGAAGAAAAGAAGGAUGAAAGCGAUGGUGGUCGGUUGGAGGGUGCGGCUGGAGGUAGGGAUCGGUGAAGGAGAAAAUAGAAAAAGAAAAUGAAGGGGAAAUGGGGGUUGCGCGCGGGAGGAAGAAGAAAGGAAAAAAAAUUCUUUUUUUUUUUUCUUUUCUUUUAUUUAAAUUAAAUAAUAAAACUAAAAUAUAAAUAAAUAUAUAUAUAAUUAUAUUAUCACAUUUUCAAAUCUUCUUUCUCCCCCUUCAUCAUAUUUUCUUCAAAAAAAUAAAUCUUGUACAAAUCGAAUAAUUUUCUUAAAAUAAAUUACCUUCGAGUUUGGGGCGUUACAAUGACAGCUAUAUUGUAACUUGGCACUUGGGGACUUUAAUGGUGUCAAUAUUGUAACUUCUGGUGCCAUGACAAAUAUUGGUGACUGUCAAGAUAAGUUCGCAUAGCCACCGAAAGAUACAUCGUUGCUUUUGAAGAAUGACAAGACUCUAAAUGAUAUAUGCAGCAUUAUUUUGGUUAUAUCCAAUCUUCUUUGAAGGCUAUGUACUUGAAGAUUUUAAUCAAUAAAUAAAAUGAAGUUUAAUUUUUAAAAUAAUAACAUUACAAUGGGAUGGCGAUUGGAAUUGAUUACUUUGGUUAAAAUUUAAGAUUAGAUUAAAAAAAUCAAUUAAUAGAUAAUUCCAUCCAAUCAAAAUAACUAAAUAAAAGACGAGAUUUGAAAAUAUAAUAUCCUAAUAGACACUAAUAGACUUAUAUUAAUAGAUAAUUUCCUGCCGAUGAAAAAUUACUAAAGUUGUACUAUAUUUUAUAAAUAUUUCAAAACAUUACAUAAACACUAAUUAAAGUUGGGUUUAGUAGCAAAAGGUUACAAAUUUAUUGACACCUUUUUUAGGAAAAAAAAUACCUUGACAUGAUGUAAACUAAAUUUGUAAUCAGCAUUGAAAUCUUUACUAUACUAAAUGGGCUCGUGGAGAAAAAAUUAUAUACAUCUAUUUUAUUCUUAAAUUGUCGAAAAAAAAUUAUAUUACCUUUUGUGAUCUAACGUAGUUGUGACUUUUAUAGUGUAAGUGUCCAUUUUAAUGUUUGGAAAGAUGAUUUUUCCAAUUUUUUAGUUUACAAAAUAAAGUUCUAUAUUUCAUAAAAUAAAACCUUAUGUUGAAUAUAUGUAACUAAUGUUGAUAGGAUGUGAUUGGUUGAUCUUCAAGAUACGAUGCAUUCUGUUUAGAGUGGAGAUGGUUGCACACACAUCAAAUUGGUGCAUUGAUUCCUCCAAAUUUACAUGUGAAAUGUAAAUGUAAAAGAAAAACAAAACAAACUCUUGCAGUUACACAUUAGGAAAAAAAAACGUCACGAAAUUCCAAAGUUCAAAAGAAAACAAACAUACACAGGGAUUUAAUUGAUUCAAAGUAGUAACAAAUGGUGAAAAAAUGCAUAAUUUGUUGUGAUUUCACAUUAACAUGUUAGAAUAAAAAAUUAUCGUAUUCUAUAUAUUACAAUAUUGGAUCAAAUAUUAAUACAUUAAUUUAAUUAUUUAAUUACUACAUCAAUGAAUUUCUUUUUCUUUUUUAAAUAAUAAUUUUACCAUUAAUAUUAUAUAAUAUUUGUUUAUUAUAUGCUAAAGCAUAUUUAAAAAUUAAAUAGAAUUAAGAGAUUUCACGUGAAUUUAUGCACAUGUUUCAACUGAAAAGAUGGAAACAAUAGUCACAAAUUAUUUUUUCCUAAAACAAAACAUUCGUAACCAAAUCUAAAUAUGCACUUUCAUAACUAAGGACCAAAACUCAUAUUACGUAGAAUUGAGCAUGGUUUAAAUGAAAUUAUUAACAAAAUACUUACACUUUAAACCAGGUUUUUUGGCAACAUACAUAGUGAGAAAAUUCCAAAUUUACCCUCUUACUUGUAUCUUUUCAAUAAAAAGUGCAUCUUAGUUGUAAUUAUGUCAAAAUAAAAAUAAAAAAAUAACUCGUCAGUUAACGUGGUUAUUCAUUAAUUGAUUUGGGUGAACUUUCUGAAGAUAAAAAUAACAAAAACAAACAAACAAAAGACUAGAACAUGUUAUUUAAUUAUGUAAUUACAACUUCCCUUUCUCCUCCGUGAGAAAAAAAACCAUUUCUCUAAAUUUCAUCUAUAUAUGUGUAUUGAUCAAAUGACCCAUAUCAAUAAGGACACAAAAUUGGCAAAGAACAAAUAAAUUAAAAUGGACAAUAACUCUUGUUUCAUUACUUUCUCUCUCAUUGGAGUUCUUUUGUUCACCAUCAUUUCAAAUGUGGCAUCAUCUAACGACGUUGUUUCUACCAUCUGUUCAGAAAUCUCAAAUCCACAAUUUUGUUUAAGUGUGUUGAAAUCUGCAGGCACUACAGAUCUAAAAGGCUUGGCUGUAUACACCUUAAACCUUGCUCAUUCAAAUGCUGGCAAAUCUUUGAUCCUAGCCAACUCACUAGCAAAAGCCACCACCAAUCCUCAACUUAAGCAACGAUAUUCAUUUUGUGCUGAGAGCUAUGAUGAAGUUGUUGGUGACAUUGAAAAUGCUCAAAACGACUUGGCACUUGGGGACUUUAUUGGUGUCAUUAUUGCAACUACUGGUGCCAUGACAACUCUUGGUGAUCACUGUCAGAAUAAGCUCUUGCAGCCGCCGAAGGAUACAUCGUUGCUUUUAAAGAAUAGCAACACUCUAGAUGAUAUAUUUAGCAUUAUUAUGGUUAUAUCCGAUCAUCUUUGAGGGUUAUGUACUUGAACAUUUUGAUCAAUAAAUAAACUGAAGUUUAAUUUUUAAAAUAAUAUUACAAUGUGAUGGUGAUUGGAAUUGAUUACUUACUUUGAUUAAACUUGAGAAGAUAAAGAAAAUCAAUUAAUAGAAACGUUCACCGACACACAUUGUCAGCACGUCGGAGAAAGCCUAAACUUUUUUUUCUUUUCUUUUACGUUCUGUUUUCUUUUCUUUGUUUGCCAUCAUCAUCGUCAUCUUCUUCUUCUUCUAGCUUCUUACGUUCUGUUUCAAUUGCAUACUUCUGUUAUUCUUGUAAUUUCUUCGUGGUUUUCUUUUUAACUUUGUGUUUCAGUGUGGAUUCAUAAACACAUUUUUCAGUGCUCUGGAUUCUGGAUCUGUUAUGAUUUGAAAGGGUACAGUGAAGUGAAAAGUUGAAAUGGAAAAGAAAAAAAAGAAGAAAAGAGGACACUUCUCGCGGUGGUGGCGGCAAAGACUGACGUCGACGACAACACAACUCUCCUCCUCUCCCUAUAUCUCGGCCGAUUUUGGGUUUAUUUUCGUUUUGCAUUCUGUUAUGUGUAGAAGGGAGAAUAAAUAGUGUGGACUUUCCCCGACAUCUUCGAAAACGUUGGGAAAUUUACCUUUUCGCCGACGUAUGUAGUACACACGUCGGAGAAAGUUUAAAUAAUAAAUUCAUUAUUUAAACUUUCCCCGACGUACUCCUGUCAUACGAGUCUAAAUUAAAUUUAAUGCGUUCUCCUUCGGCGAUGUGUGUCAAGGUGACGUUGGAAAAAGUUUAAACACUAAUGCAAUUAUUUUAAAUCACAUAUGUUAUCGCUUAUAUGGCAUAAGAGUCUAUUAACGAUAGAAAUCUAUCUUGAUAGGUUUUGCUACAUUUACAAUUUUUAAAAAAUAUUCUUAUAUACUUAACUAUUAUUCCUAAAAUUGCUAACCCAUUAUACUUACCCUAAGUUAAAUGUAUAAUGUCAAAAGUAAGUUUACUACGAAGGUAAUCUAUGUGACCCUUUUAUCCUAACGUAGGAAGUUUGUUCCACUCCAUACCAUUAUUGAACUAAAAGGAUUAAGUGUGUAUUAAUAUGUUUAAACAAGUAUAAUUAUAGCAAAAUCUAUAAGUGAUAUAUUGAUAUUAGCAAUACAAUACGCGUCACAUAUGCAAACAUUUUGUGUCUAAUCGUUGUAUUUACAAUUAACUCCAUUAAAAUAUUACAAAUAGAAAUAGAACUCUUUAAUCUAUGUUCAGUUAGGAUCACAAACUACAAAAUGAAAGCAUGGAACAAAUUUAAUUUUUUUUUUCUUUAAAGGAAAUUUUGUGUGUAGCACAUUAUAUUUUUUUCUUUCCUUUAAAAAACAUUAUUGAUCUUAUGAUAUUUGACAUAUAUUAUAUUUUUUUAAGAAUGUAAAUAAUGUAAAUAAUGUGCCAAAUAAUUGAAAACAUGUUAUCCAAAACAGAGAAUGGUUAAGAAAUUGUUGACAUUUAGUCAAAUUAAUAAAUAAUUCAAAAUUGUGUUUGAUUUUUGAAUUUGAAAAGAUAGUAAAUUAGAAGUGUUUUGAAAUAGUAUUUACGAGAAGAUUUUUAAUUUUAAAUAGCAUUAUAGUAGCUAUGGAUGGUUAUAUAAUAGUCUACACAAUCUUUGUCACAAAUGAUUAAUUCGAUUUUUUAAAUCAAGUCUAAUGUUUUUUUUUUUUUUUUUUGCCUAUUUCUUACCAUAAUUUACAUUUUUUGUAAGUAUAAUGGUUGAAUGCAAAAAGAGAGCUGACUAGUAAGUGCAAAAAGAGAUCUCACAAGCUUCUGCAAAAGCUAAUCAAGCAACCCAAAUCAUAAACGAGGAGAAAAGUUGAUUGGUUAAGCUUUGUUGUAGUAAAGAAGUCAAAGUGAACAUGGAACGUUCUUCACUCUCAAAGAACAUCGCCAACAUAUAGAUUAUAUACUUUUUCUGGUAUUGACCCAAAAAACACAAUCCAAGUGUAUUUUUGGUGAGAUGCAUAGUUUAACUAAACCGUGUUAUUACAAAAUUUUUAAUUACUAGGAACUCCUAAUGAAACGAAUACAUUAUUUUUAUAAUUACGAGGUAAAAUGGAAACAUACAAACUACUAAAAAAAGUUGCAAUUCGAUUAUUGGGAUUCAAUCUACUCUCCAUGAAUGUUCUUGAAAUGAGAGUUUUUAAGCAGCUACAACUUGCUUAUGUAUAAAAGCAAAACCCUUCUCAACGCCUACCUUCAGUUUUGGCUUUAGAGCUUCAAGUGAUUUUUGCCCCUACUCAGAUAAACCCUGAAGAUCAGAUGUUACAAAGGCUUCAAUUCCACAUGCAAAAAUCAUGUUCAUGAACCAAAAGCACCUUAAGCUUCUCUUCGAUAUCUUUGAGCUCACUGGAUAAAGAACUGAUUUCUAAAGCAAUCAUCUCUACCAUAUCCUCAUCGUUCCCACUGUCUUUUAAUAAGGUUGGCAUGAUAAUCACAACAAAGAAGAAGAAACUAAGAUCAAUUUAACAAAUUUUAUGUUGGGAAACUUUUUUAAGAACAACUACUUAUAAACCAACCUUAGCUUUGGCCUCACAUUCCUUGAAUUUUCUAAAAGUAGAUACCACCUGUCCGGGCAACCCACACCAACCAACCAAGAGUAAGUUAGUGUGAAAGACACUUAUUUAAUGAAGAAUAUGUAAAAGAGGUCAUUCCAACUGUUACACAUAAUAGUAUUGGAGGCAGAUAACCUUGCCAUACCUCAUCAAGUUCUGAUAUUGAUUGAGCUAGUUUUUGAUACUCUGUGGGGUUUGAGACAAUAUCUGGAUUGACCAGCUUAACCUAAAUAAUAAUAUCGAUAGUGAUUAUUGUGUAGGAAAAUAUUAAAGCUAUAACCAAAUCAAAAGCAUAAUUGGAAAUACAUCAAAGAUGUAAAUGCAAAUUUCAAAAGUGGAUCUACAGAAUGUAAGGGGAAGAAACUCAAAUAAAAUUACUUUAUUAGUUAUACGACUACUAUAGAGAUUCCAGAUACACCACAGUUCCACGUCCUCUUUCAGGAGGAAAGCAAUGGUUAAAAAUUAAUUGUGAAAACUAAAGAAGGUCCUGUUCAAAUCCUAACAGCAAUAGGAAAGCAAGGAGUUAUAAGGUGAUCACUAUAGCCAAAUCCAAAAUGCAUUCAAUAUUUGUCUUCCAAUUUCAUUAUCAAGUGCAUAGGCAAGGUCCCUAGUGAGGAAGUUAUUCGUUCUUUUCUUCAUUUUCUAUAGCUCUAGAAGUAGCUAAAUGGAAUCGUCAAGCACCUAAUCUAUUAAUUUUAAAACUCAAAAGUUCACCGCGGGAUUCUAGUCACUGCUGAAACAACAUAGAGUUCACUAGUUCCACAGUUAAAUUAAUUGCAAAUUGCAUUUCCUGGCAUUUUCAAGAAAAAAAAAAUGCACAAAUCAUAAUAUGAUGAAGUAGAAAAAUUUUGUGAGCUCGACUUUUCCAGGACAUAUCUUAGCUACUUCUCCUAUUCCAGCUCGAUAACCAUUGUACUUUAACAAUUGAAACAUUAAUCCAAUAGUUAACAAUGUUCUGCACUUUAUGCCCUUACAUUUCCAACAACUUGAUGCAUACAUCAGUAGUUAACACAGGCACGAGCUCUUAAAUUCAAUGCAAAAUAACAGUCCCAUUCCAAGCAUAGACACCAAAUACAAACAAUUGAUGGACUUGAAUCAGUGAAGAAAUAAGAAUGUCAUUUAACAGCAAAGCACAAAUUACCGAUAAUUUUUUCCACGUCUUCUCAGCAGAUUCCAAUUUCACGAUCAAAUAAGGUUCCUAAAAUAAAGCAAUCACCAUCAUCAUUUUCCACAAAUAUGAUUCGAACUAGUUUUACCACAAAUUAAUUUCUAGUAACUUGAAGAAAAACUCAGUGAACUCAAAGCAUAACGAAACUCAAGUUCUGUUAAAGCCAAUCCGAACAAUAAGAUAUAGACAUAUUGUGUUCUCGAAAGAAAAACAUUCAAUAAAUCUAACAGCCAUGCAAAUUAGAGUUGAAGCUCUAAAGGGAGGUGCAAAGCAUUUAAGUUCCAGAGAGCAUCUUCUGAAGGCGAUGAGCCCAUAAGAUGAAAAAAAGGCCUCAAGUGAGGAAGAAAGACGCCAUCCAAACAUGAAAAAAGGAAGAAAGGCAAGAUUUUGGUAGCUCCAGACCUGAGGGAAGCCAACAAGGUGGCGAGGGAGGCAAGGCCCCAAAGUUUAGCAUUGCCAGCAAAGUGAAGGUAGAGAAGGACCUUUCCUUUCGACGUGGCCCUCCGAGAGUUUAUGGACGCCCCAAUUGGGGCGUUUGGAUGGAGUAAGUUCUUCAAGGGACUUCCAAGAUUCGAUGGAGGUUGUCAAGAAAUUCUACGCAUCAGAUUACAACCACUACAAGGAAUUUCAGAUCAACCAACACAAUUUAACACUAUUGGGAGAAUCCACGAAUUCUUGGUCAAGUAGAAGAACCUCCAUGUGGAAGAAACAAAUUGUGAACGUGUCGAAGACCUUGAAGUGUGGAAAUGGAAGAUCAAAGAGUUCCAGCUUCGCCAGUCGACAGGGACGUCAACUGUUUAAGUAGGGGAGAAUGUCAAGAGCAUGCUUGUCCAAGGCAUUGUUUGCCCAUGGCCGCAUGGCCGAACAUCCUCAAACCGCCUUAUAUUUAUGUCUUAUACUUAGUUUAGCCAUUUUGUUUCCUUUUGUUGUCGCCGACCUAGGGUGUGACGUUUCAAAAUUUUCAUAUGCAAGUCUGUCAUAGCUAAAAAUGUUUAAAAUGUACUAUAGGGAAGACAUAGUAGUUGAAUCCCUGACCAAGCCUUGUUGCACUCUUUGCAUUCUAAUCUUUCUUUGCAAUUAACAGUCUUCAAUGCUUUCUUUAACGAUGUUUUCAAUUCUUUUCUUCUCUUCUUGUCUUAUAAAAAUAAAUUUCUCUCAAAACAUGAAAGAGGCUAUACCGUACUGCGUGCUUUUUGCGACUUCUGGAUUUCAUACAGCUUACUUGUUCACCGAGCUAGAACAAACGUCGCAUAAUCACCAUCCCCUAUUUGAAAAUUUACGAUUAUGACAGCAUGCGGUGAGGUGCACGCGGCAUGUGUGGGCCCAAGCCAAGCAUGCAACUGGCAUUCUGAUACUCUAUGCACGUGCAUGCUGCCUGCGCCCAUGCCGUGCAGCCAGCAUUGUCAUGACGUAGUUUUUGGGAUGUUUGGUGUUUUGGGAAAUUUUGAGCAAAUUCUGGAUGUUCGAGCAUGCGGAUGUUCUAUGCAAUGCAACCAGCAGCCCAUAUGUUCUAUGUUCUCUUUACGGUCGUAUGUGCACAUUUGGUUAACUCUACUACUAAUGGGAAAGUUGACGAGCCUAUGCUGAAUUCAUCAGGAAAGGUGUACUUUGUUGAGCCCAUUGAGGAGAAGGAUACCUUCUUUUUUCGAAGAGGUGUUUCAAUGCCUAGGCCGUCUUUUGACAAUGAGGUGUUAAUAUUACCUAGACUUCAUGCUAAGAACGGGUUGUGAAUUUAUAAUCAAGAAUGCAGUUCGAGUAUCAUGUCUUUCAAAUGAUUUCCAACAGCUUGAAUGUUUCUAUAAGACAAGAAUUUAUGCUUAACUGUUUUAGAAAGCAUGUUUUAUAAAAAUUGUCACUCACUAAGUCUUUCGACUUAUCCUUUCAAAUCAUUUCUCACUUUUCAGGUAUGGAUUAUGCAUUCCCUAAUGUUAAGCGUAUUGCUGCUGAGCCAACCAGUUACUAGAAAUUGUUAAGUCAUUUUGAAAGUUAGUUUUGACUUUGUAAGAAAAGUUCAGGAUGAGCAUGUCUAUGUUUAUUGUUAAAGUUCCAAUGUUAUAAGUUAGUUUAGUAAAAAGGUCACUGUCAUGUUUAAAGCUUCUGCUGAUGUAUCACAAUAGUUGUAACUAGUGGUUUAAGUUAUUAGUAAAAGCAUGUAGCUUGUAUCGCUGUUUGUUUUGAGCAUGCAUUCAUGUUGUAACUGGUAGUUAAGUUAGAAAGGUUAGUCGGUUGGUAAGUUUUGCCAAGGUAUGGCAAUCCUUGCCAACCCUCGCACCUUCUUUCAGAGCUAGAUGUUGUUCAGAAAAUAAGGAGCUUUGGGAGGGGGUGGUGACAACAACACCAUCCCACUAGAGUACGCAAUGAUGCAUUAUUGUUUAAUUAAGUCAUAUAUACUUCCACAAUUUGGAUAGGAAUUUAACUCAUUAGAAGGUGUCCUAUAGAAUUUCUCAGUGAAAAGUUCAGAGAAGCUACAAACAAAUGUCACUACCGAACAACAAUCAUAUACAUGGGUUAGGGCUUUGAGCAGUGUGAACACAACUUAAUAAUAAAUAUGAAGUCGUCCUCUUUUCAUCAUUAGUCAGAAGAAUUCUUAAACUUUCUAAAAAUAAUUGUCAAAUAAUUGAUUAUAUAGUAUGCCAUUUAUUUGGAAUACAAUUUUUUCAUUACCAGGAAAGGAGACUUCUCACUAAGUAAAUGUAAAGAGACUAAUGCUAUAAUUUGAAUUGGAAAAUAUAAUUUCAUAAUUAAGCAUCGAAUAGGGACUAGUUAAGAAGUACACACUUUAGUUUGCCAGAGUCCAUGUUCUACACAUGUUAGCCACUCUGUCAUUGGUUUAGCAGUAAAACAAAGGAUGUGUUUAGGAUGUGAGCCACACAAAAGGGAAAGAAAACAGAAGGCGCAGUGAGCCACACAAAAGGGAUCGAAACGAAUGUUCAGAAAUAUCGGAAGGAUCGAAGAAAUAUGGAAGGAAAGACGAGGAAAAAACAACAGACCGGAGCAAGUUCAAGAAGGUAGAGAUCCCGAUCUUCAAUGGAAUAGACCCCGAUUCAUGGUUAUUUCGCGCCGAUCGUUAUUUCAAGAUACACAAGUUGACUGACUCAGAGAAGUUAAUGGUAGCGGUAAUCAGUUAUUAGGACCAGCUUUGGAUUGGUAUAGAUCAAUUGAUGAAUUGGAACAAUUCAAGAGUUGGGAAGAUUUGAAGCAAAGGUUGUUGUCCGAUUUCAGACGAUUCGGGAUGGAACACUCGUAGGCAGAUUCUUAAGGAUUAAGCAGGAAACGACAGUAGGGGAAUAUAGAAACAGUUUCGAUAAAUAUUUAGCUCCGGUAGCCUUCCUCCAGACCAUAGUAUUAGAAGAAACCUUUAUGAAUGGGCUAAGCCCAUGGCAUAAAUCCGAAGUUGAAACGCUGGAGCCCAUAGGUUUGGCCAAGAUGAUGUAACUAGCCCUGAAAUUGAAAAUAGAGAGAUGGUUCGUCGAGAAUGUGGGCUUAGUAGUGUUUCGGGAAUGAAUCAACAAUUCAAGCAUAAUAACGUAAAGCAAACCUCGACAGUAACACCCAAUCAGAAACCCACGGAAGGGAGCUGGCCAAUGAGAACGAUUACGUUAAAAAGAGUGACGGCAGAUGAAAAGAGGAGGGAAGGUCCGACCAAGCGUCUUUCCAACGCUGAAUUUCAAGCACGGAGGGAAAACGGUCUGUGUUUUCAGUGUGAGGAGAAGUAUCACGCUGGACAUAGGCGUAAGGUGAAGGAACAGAAGGAAUUACGGAUGUUAGUAGUAAAGGAAAUGGGAGAAGAACUGGAAAUCAUUGAGGAUGAACACUUUGAUGUGGAAACGGAGGCCCAGACCAUUGAAAUUGAAAAAGUGGAGAAUAUGAAUAUAGAGCUGUCCAUUAACUCAAUUGUGGGGUUAUCCAACCCUGGAACCAUGAAACUGAAAGGGAAGAUAAAAGAGACCAAAGUGGUAAUAAUCAUCGACAGUGGAGCCACCCACAGUUUUAUUGCAAAAAAUUUUGUAACCACCCUUAGCCUACCAAUGACAGAAACGUCCAACUAUGGAGUGAUUUUGGGAUCAGGGGUUGCGGUCAAAGGAAAAGGAAUCCGCAGUAAUGUUGAAGUGACGGUAGGAGAGUGGAAAAUUACAAACAACUUUUUACCCUUGGAAUUAGGGGUGGUUGCACUCAUUGGGCAUGACUGAAUUUGAUAUGAAAAAUUUGGUGAUGACAUUCCGACAUGGAGGAAGGAAGAUAGAGAUAAAGGGGGACCCUAGUGUCACCAAAACCCAAGUGAGCCUAAAGUCUAUAAUUAAGACAUGGGGAGCUGAUAAUCACGGUUAUUUGGUAGAAUGUCGGGCCAUGGAGGGAAGGCUAGCUGAGGAAGGCUUAGAGGAUGAAGAAGUGCCAGCCACUGUUGACAACAUGAUCUCUCCUCUGUUGAGCAAAUUUAAUGAUGUUUUUGAUUGGUUGGAAGAGCUGCCUUCGAAGAGGAACAUUGAGCACCAUAUACCCCUUCAGAAGGGGGUGGAUCCAGUUAAUGUCAGACCUUAUCGUUACGCACAUCGGCAAAAGGAGGAAAUUGAAAGACUAGUUGAUGAAAUGUUGAAGACAGGCAUCAUAUGACCGGGUACCAGUCUGUAUUCCAGCCCAGUCCUUCUCGUGAAAAAGAAAGAUGAUAGCUGGCAAUUUUGUGUAGAUUAUCGGGAGUUGAACAAUGUCACUAUCCCAGAUAAGUUCCCAAUUCCGGUCAUAGAUGAGUUAUUCAAUGAGCUGAAUGGGGCCAACAUGUUUUCGAAGAUUUAUUUAAAGGCGGGUUAUCACCAAAUCAGGAUGCAUCUGAGAGGUGUAGAGAAGACGGCCUUUCGAACACAAUGAGGGACACUAUGAGAUUCUUGGUCAUGCCCGUUUGAGCUAACCAAUGCCCCCUCUACGUUCCAAGCAUUAAUGAACCACAUCUUUAAGCCUUAUAUGAGAAAGAUUCGUAUUAGUGUUUUUCGAUGACAUUUUGGUGUACAACAGGGGAGUAGAAGAACAUGGACAGCAUCUGGAAGUAGUCUUGGAGAUCCUUCGAGAGAAUGAAUUGUAUGUGAAUUUAGCCAAAUGUUGCUUUGCCAAAAGUAGAAUAGGUUAUUUGGGGCAUUUCAUAUCCGAAAAGGGAGCUAAAGUUGAUCCAGAAAAAAUAAGGGCAAUUAGGGGAAUGGUCGAUUCCCACUAGUGUGCGAGAAGUUCGAGGUUUCUUAGGACUCAAUUGAUACUAUAGGAAGUUUGGGCAGAAUUAUGGCAGUAUCGAAAGCCCUUUGACACAGCUUUUGAAGACAGGAACUCAUUGUUGGACUGAAGAAGCAAGUGCUGCCUUUGAGAAGUUGAAGAUGGCAAUGAUGAUUCUACCGACGUUAGCUAUGCUGGACUUUAAUCUACCACUCGAGAUAGAAACAUAUGUAUCUUGUUUUGGUGUGGGGCCGUUUUAGUACAAGCCAAGAGACAAAUAUCCUUCUUUAGUAAAACCUUAUGCAUGUGGGAUAGAGCGCGACUGGUUUAUGAAAGAGAAUUGAUAAUAGUAGUGUUUGCGGUGCAAAGGUGGAGACCAUAUUUGUUAGGGAAGAAAUUUACAGUGAAAACUGAUCAGAAGUCGCUCAAAUUUCGGCUAGAACAAAGGGUGAUUCAACCCUAAUACCAAAAAUGGAUAGCCAAUCUUUUGGGAUAUUCAUUUGAGGUAGUCUGCAAUCCUGGAUUGGAGAAUAAGGCAGCCGAUGCUCUAUCUAGAACACCCCGUAUAGUGCACUUAAAUCAAAUAUCAGCCCCAACACUACUCGAUUUAGUGGUGAGUCAAGAAGAGGAAAAGAGGGAUCAAUACCUACAGGAAAUCCAGAAGAAAAUAGAAAGAACAAAAAGUGAAAGUUCCAAACUUUUCAGUACAGCAAGGGGUAUUGAAAUACAAAGGAAGGUUGGUGCUGUCAAAAACAUCCGUUCUACUACCCACUAUCAUGCAUACCUAUCAUGAUUUUGUCUUUGGAGGACAUUCAGGGUUCCUAAGAACGUACAAGAGGAUGACCGGAGAGAUUUACUAGGAAGGAAUGAAGAAAAACAUAAAGAAAUACUAUGAAGAAUGUCUUGUAUGCCAAAGGAAUAAAACACUUGCAUUAUUACCUGCUGGAUUGCUGCUGCGCACUUGAGAUUCCUAACACAGUGUGGUCGGAUAUUUCCAUGGAUUUUAUAGAUGGACUUCCAAAAUCAGCUGGAAAAGAAGUGAUUUUUGUGGUUGUAGAUUGUCUGAGUAAGUAUGCACAUUUUACAGCUAUAAAUCAUUCUUACAUGGCCAGCUUCGUAGCAGAAGUUUUUGUUAAAGAAGUGGUGAGAUUGCACGGUAGCAUGUAUCCGCAGUAAGUUGUAUCGGAUCAAGACAAAAUCUUUAUUAGUCAUUUCUGGAAGGAAAUGUUCAAGUUAGUGGGAACUAAAAUAAAUAGAAGGAAAUGUUCAGGUUAGUGGGAACUAUGCCCAUAUACACCAAGUUCGAAUAUAGAACUUGCUUCUUACUGAAAAAAUAAUGAUUAUGGGACUUGCUAUAAGGGUAUCCAAUACUCGAAGUAAAUGAAUGAUUACAAAAUGAUUGUUUCCUCAGUUUGAAGAAGAACAACAAAAAAGAAAAGAAGGAUAAAAAUAAAAAAAAAAACAAACUUUCUUUUUGAAAUUCUAAAAGAAUCCAAAAAGACUUCAAAAGGUGCAACCAAGAAAGGAGGUCAAAGAAGGGCUCUGAUAGACCCCCCUAUCAUACGUCAAUAUAGUCAAAAAAAAAAAGAGAGAGAUCACAAGGGAACACACAUGCGAAGAAGAAAAGAUUUAAAGGAUUGUUAGAAGAAAAGAUUUAAAAAGCUUGUUGGGCGUCGGUUAGAUUUGAGGAGAUUUAGGAGGGUCGUUAGGUGUUGAUUAGAAUAAAUAAGGAUAGGGAGGAAAGAGGAGGGUAUGCUGAGUUUAGAAGAAAAUUGACUCAUGCUCUUCCUUGAGCGAUAGGAUAGCAGAGAGGGAAUUAGAUUGUUUUUCGAAUUGAGUCCUCCUCAAUUUGAGUGUUCUGAUAUUUUGAUUUUCCUUGUAACUCAUUCUUUGAUUGAAGCAAUAAAAGUUCUAAUUGGAUUUCCAAAAGAGUUCUAUCAAAUUGGUAUCAGAGACAGUUUUUUCUGACCAAGAGGAAAAUGAUGGUCCAAACACGAAUGAAGGAGAGAAUGGAGGCGCACGACCAGGAGAUGCAUUUGAUGAGAAGCGAGAUAAGCAAAAUUUCGACAAUGAAAGAAAUAUUAGCCACGAUCAGCGUACAGACAAAGAAGACUCACAAAAUGUUGAUAAUGUUCAUGGAAUCGAUUACCAGAGAGCAUAUCGUUAUGAGUGAGAAAAUGGCCGAGUCGAGUGUGCGAGAGACAGUAUCAACAAUAACGAAUAAGAAGGAAGGCUCGAUCGAAAAGGACCAUGAGCACGAAACAAAGGAUGGAAAGAUAGAAGGAGAAGACGGAGCGAACGAGCAUAAUAAGUUCAAGAAGGUUGAGAUGCCAGUUUUCAACACGGAAGAUCCCAAUUUUUGACCCUUUCGAGCAGAUAGAUAUUUUCAGAUACACAAAUUGACUGAUGCUGAGAAGGUCCUGGUUGCGACCAUUAGUUUUGAAGGCCCGACGCUGAACUAGUAUAGGGCGCAAGAAGAACACGACAAGUUUACCAGUUGGUCGAACCUCAAGGAGAGAAUACUCAUCCGUUUUCAAUCAGCAAAAGAGGGGUCCAUAUGCGGACAAUUUUUUAGGAUCGGAUAACAGACGACAGUAGAAGAAUAUCGAAACCAGUUAUAUAAGCUGAUGGAACCGUUAUCCGAUCUACAAGACAGAGUGGUGGAGGAAACAUUCAUGAACGGUUUACUGCCGUGGAUUAAAGCAGAAGUGGAUUUUUGUCGUCCGGUCGACGUGGCUCAAAUGGUGCACGCGGCUCAACUCGUAGAAAAUCGAGAGAUAAUUCACAAUGAGGCCAACCUUAAGGGGUACGCCCAAGGAAAAUAUCCGCCUCAAGGUUCUAGGCAAAAUACGAGUGCUGCGACGGUGAACGAUAGCGACAAUAAGAGAAAUACAUUAUUUUCGAUGAGAACGAUUACUCUGAGAACGACAUCCAGAGAAGUUAAGAGAGGGGCAGGCAAAGCGAUUGUUAGACGCGGAGUUUCAAGUCAGGAAGGAAAAAGGACAUUGUUUCCGUUGUAAUGAGAUAUAUUAUCAUGAUCAUCGAUGCAAAAACAGAGGGCAAAGAGAGUUGAGAAUGUACGUGGUCAGGGCGAAUGAUGAAGAAUUUGAAAUCAUAGAAGAAGUGGGAGAAAAUGAAUUGUUUGGAAAUCACAUAAGAAGAUCAUGUUGUCAUCGAACUGUCAAUUAAUUCGGUGGUGGGGCUGAACAAUCCGAGGACAAUGAAGGUGAGGGGGAAUAUCAGUGAGCGAGAAGUUUUCAUUUUCAUUGAUUGUGGAGCAACGCACAACUUCAUCUCCGAAAAGAUAGUAAAGGAGUUACAACUGGCCACGAAGGCAACGUCGCACUAUGGUGUAAUCUUGGGCUCGGGGGAGGCGAUAAAAGGUAAAGGAGUAUGUGAGGACGUGGAAAUCAAGUUGAACGGGUGGAAGGUGGUGGAAAAUUUGUUACCCUUAGAAUUGAGAGGGGUAGAUGUUGUGUUAGGAAUGCAGUAGUUGUAUUCAUUGGGCAUGACGGAAGUAGAUUGGAGGAACCUCACAAUGACUUUUGUGCAACAAGGAGAAAAGGUAGUGAUAAGAGGAGACCCAAGUUUGACCAAAUCCAGAGUGAGUCUCAAGAACAUGAUCAAAAGGUGGAAGGAUUCGUGAUCGAGUGCCGAGCAAUGGAGAGAGUCUUUGAGCCACAGGAAGAUAACGGGAUUGAAGAAGUAUUAACUACUGAUGAAGCAGUAUCGGUCGUGUUGAAGAAUUUUGAAGAUGUUUCUAAUUGGCCGAAGACACUACCCCCGCAAAGAAAUAUUGAACAUCACAUUCAUUUGAAACAGGGCACUGAUCUGGUAAAUGUUCGACCCUAUAGAUACGCUUAUCAACAGAAAGCUGAGAUGGACAAACUUGUGGAUGAGAUGUUGACAGCUGGAAUUAUCCGUCCCAGCAACAGUCCAUAUCUAGUCCAGUUCUAUUGGUAAUGAAAAAAGAUGGCAGCUGGCGUUUUUGCGUAGACUACCAAGCGCUGAACAAUGUAACCAUUCCAGACAAAUUCCCUAUUCCGGUGGUUAAGGAGCUUUUCGAUGAAUUAAAUGAAGCAAACUGGUUUUCAAAGAUUGAUUUGAAGGUGGGGUACCAUCAGAUCAAAAUGUGUGGAGAAGACAUCGAAAAAGCAGCAUUCCGAACACAUGAUGGACACUAUGAAUUUAUGGUUAUGCCAUUCGGCUUAACUAAUGCCACAUCCACUUUCCAAGCUCUGAUGAACUCAACAUUCAAACCAUUUUUGCAGAAGUUCAUAUUAGUGUUUUUCGACGACAUACUAAUCUACAGUGAGAACUUGGAACACCAUUUGAAGCACAUUGGGUUAGCAUUGGAAAUCCUGAGAAAGAAUGAGUUAUAUGCAAACAAGAAGAAGUGCAGCUUCGCACAAGAACGUAUUGAUUAUUUGGGUCAUAUCAUUUCAAGACAAGGAGUUGAAGUGGACCUUGAGAAAAUCAGAGCAAUCACGGAAUGGCCUAUACCCAGUAAUAUAAGAGAGGUACGGGGAUUCCUAGGCCUCACCUGUAACUAAAGAAAGUUCGUUCAGCACUAUGGCUCCAUUGCCGCACCAUUGAUUCAACUACUUAGGAAAGGGGGAUUCCAGUGGACUGAGGAGUCUAAGGAGGCAUUCCAACAACUACAAAAUGCGAUGAUGACCCUGCCCGUUUUGGCGUUGAAAAAAUUUCAAUGCCACAUUUGAAAUGGAAACCGAUGCAUCGGGAUAUGGGGUAGGAGUCGUACUCGUCCAAGCCAAGCGUCCCAUAGCAUACUUUAGUCAUACGUUAGCCUCAAGAGAUAGAGCCAAGCCUGUACAUAAAAGGGAAUUAAUGGCAGUGGUCUUGCAUGUGCAACGAUGGCGACCAUAUCUGUUGGGGAGAAAAUUUAUUGUGAAGACCGAUCAGAAAUCCUUGAAGUUCUUGUUAGAACAAAGAGUGAUACAGCUUCAGUAUCAGAAAUGGGUAGCGAAGCUAACGGGAUACUCAUUUGAGGUGGUCUACAAACUCAGCUUGGAGAAUAAAGCAGUAGACGCCUUGUCUUGGAUGCCUCCUACAAUUAACCUCGGUAGCAUAACAGCUCCUACAUUGGUUGACAUUCUGGUGACUAAAAAGGAAGUCAAAGCGUAUGAAAAAUUAAGCAAAAUAAUGGAAGAACUACAAGCAAUGGAAGAAGUAACAGAGGGUAAAUUCUCCAUCCGACAAGGUAUGUUAAGAUAUAAGGAUAAGUUUGUGUUGUCCAAAACAUCUACAUUGAUACCCACAAUCCUACAUACUUACCAUGAUUUGGUACUUGUGAGGAAUGUGUAAUAUGUCAGAAGAACAAGUCCCUAGUGUAACGAGCAUACUUGUCCAAGGUGUGUUUACCUAUGGCCGUAUGCUCCGAUUAGCCCCAAUUUACCUUGUCUUUAUGUCUUGCACGUAGCUUAGGUAGUUGCUUUCAAUUUCAAGUCGAUAUGCUUGGGUGUGACGUUUCGGCAUUUUCAUAUGUUAAAAAUGUACUAUAGGGGAGGCAUACCUGUUGAAUCCCUGCCCAAGCCUUGUCGUACUCUUUGCAGUCUAUGCUUUCUUAUUGCAAUUGACAGUCUUCAAUGCUUGUUUUAACAACGUUUUCAAUCAAUUUAAUCAUCUUUCAUGUUUUCUAAAACUAUUUUUCCAAGAACGUGAGGGGAGGUUGAAGUAUGUGUUAAAGUUGUCUGCGAUUUGCAGAUUUUGAUCGGCUGACUUGUUCGCCGAGCUAGAACAAGUGCCGCACAAUCGUUCACAUCGUGUUUGAAGGGUUACACAGUAAAGGAAGAGUAAGAAUUUGAGUGGAGAAACUCCAAUUGGGAUCAACACGUGGGCAACAACAUGGCUUCUCACCAACAUGAGAACUCAAAAGAGACAGCAGAUAUUCUAGAGAAGCCAAUGAACUCUUGGGAUGUGAAUCUGCACUUUCCUGCAAUAGUUUGAGUGUGAAUUAGUUCUCUGAAAACACCUGCAGAGGAUAAUCCACGGCAAAACAGAAUAACUAUAAAAAAACCACUUGCAAGUAGAAGAAAAAGGAAGUACAUUUAUACCUUCCCUGUCAAAGUGAUAUCCCUCAUCAACGGAUAUGCAUUUCUUUCCAGGAAGUAGCCAACAAUUUUACAAACCCAUGGGAGUUUAGGUUGUAAUAAGAAAACAAUUGUGUCCAACAAUAGAGUUGCAGGUGUGUUAGAGUUCACAGGUGCAGCCAAAAGUUGAUUCCUCAAUUGGUUUCUAUCAAGAACAACAUCAAGUAAGAAUAAUUCGGAGGAAAAAUAAAGGCAACUUAUCAUAUAUAUAAAUAUGAUUAGUCUGAAUUCGUUUGCGGAAGGUAAAAAAACCUUUAUGUCAAUUAUAUAUAUCUGAACAAAAUCUAAGAAAUAUAUCACUUUUCAACAAAAGAAAUAUAUCAUAUACAAUUAAAGGAUCAUAGCAUAGAAAGCCAACAAAAUCAACAAUGAUAGAUCAAACAUCUGUUUUUCCAUUCAAAACGUUAAAAAGGAUAAGUUUUUAAUAAGGAAUGUUGAAAUGGAAAAAACUAAUUACCUAUUAUGGUGUACAAUCUGGAUGCAAGCAUAUGCAAAUUUCUUAACUCUGUAAUCCACUAAGGCCUUGUUAAGUACAUAAUCCUUGCUAGCGAAAAUGCUCAACAUAUCCCCUAUAUAUGUAAGAGAGAGAAAGGUUAGAAAGUACUAACACUAAGAGAUAUGUGCUAUCAAUUAGAAACACUUUAAGAUGACAUUAUCAAUUAGAAAACCAAGUAUUAAGCAACAUAAGGGAAAAUAACAAACAAGGGCACCACAGUGGUUCAGAAACCAAUCAAUAUUUCCAUUUGUCACUUUUAUAAUAAUUUCCCAAGGGAAAAUCCUCAUAAUAAGCUUGAGUACCACCUAAUAACGUGUUCAAAUGUUACCAUAAGCAAAAAUGAGUGAUCCUAAAAUUCAUAUGACAAGGAAAGUCGUCAACUAGCAACCGCCAAAUAACAGUUAUAUGGCUAGAAUUAGUUUUCUCCAACUUCAAGAAAAUAAAACAUAUUAAAACAAAAGGAAUUAUGGUGCAAAAUAAUGAAUAUGCCUGCAAAGGUAAGAAGUUUCUGAAGGUAAAAAUGGUCAAUAAAAAACAACAUAUAAUUUGACGUAAAUCAAAGUAGAAUUAUUUCUCGCAAUGAAUUCUCUGCCAAUAAUGGCUAAGAGAAGGGGUAUUUAUUGAGAAUUAGUUGGCCAGGCAGAAAUCAUCUAGGGCAUAGUAUUGUUUUAGGUCUGCGACAUUAAAAACAUAAUGAAUGUGUAAGUCUGGUGGUAGUUCUAUUUUGUAAGCAUUAUCUCCGAUCCUCUUUAGGACACGGAAUGGUCCUAAUUGUCUGUCUUUUAGUUUGUUGUAUGUUUCGGUUGGAAAUCGAUUUUUUCUUAGGUGAAUCAUUACUAAAUCUCCCUUGGUAAAGGUAGUUUGUCUUCUUUUUCUGUCUGUUGCGUCUUUGUAGGACUGAGUUGUUUCUUUUAGGUGAUUGUGGACUUCUUCGUGUAAAUUCUGGAUUUUUUCUAUCAUCUUUUCUGCCUCUGAUAGUUAGGGAACUCAACACAUUUUACUUGACCUAACCAAGAUGGCUCUUUGUAUGUAUAUUGCAUGUGUUGUUUGUUUUUUCUAUAGCUCUUGAUUGUCUCACUUUUUUACGUUUUGCAUUUGCAAUUCUCUUUUCUUUCUUUGGUAUGCAAUGUGGUAACAAGGUCUUGCUAGAGCCGGUGGGCUAACCUUUCUAUGGUUCUAAACUUAGUUUCUAAGUUUGAUUGCUCCCUUCGGAGUGACAACAAGCCUCGUUUUCCCCUACUAUGGAAUGGGGAGGAUUCAUUUUCUUUUCAAAGCCCUCGUCAAACUCAAUGCUAAGUUUGACUGCUCCCUUCAAAGUGACAACAAGCCUUGUUUUCCCCUAAUGUGGAUCGGGGAGGAUUCCUUCUCUUUUCAAAGCCCUCAUCAAACUCGAUGUUGUGUUUAGAACGCUAAGAGUAGGUGGUCUGGUUUUGGUUAGGCCAAAAGUGAAGUUUUCCCCCAUUUUUUAUGGGCUUUUUCUAAUGUAUAUUGGAUAUGUUGUUUGAUUUUUUUUAUAGCUCUUGAUUGUCUUACUGUUUUAUGUUUUGCAUUGUCAAGUCUCUGUUUUCUUUCUUUGGUAUGCAAUGUGGUAACUAGGUCUUGCUAGAACCGGUAGGCUAACCUUUCUAUGGUUCUACAUUUAGUUCCUAAUUAAGUUUGAUUGCUCCCUUCGGAGUGACAAUAAGUUUUGUUAAUGUCGACCCUUUUCUAAAGGGAUUUAGUUCACUGUGGCUAGGCAAGAGGUUUCUAACUCAUGUUUGACAAGACAAAUUUGUUAAAACCAUCUUAGUUUUUAAAGAGUGCCUCCUAUCCCUUUUUUACUCUAUCUAGGCUAGGUUUGGACUAAGUGCAUCAUAGGUUAGUCACGACAAAGCAACAAAGGAAGACAAAGCUAGAAAAGUAUUCAUGCACUUAUUUAUUAUACAUGCAAUCAAGCAUUCACAACAUACAUACCAUUUUCUCAAUCAUGCAUUCACACCUCAAUAAGAAAUAGCUAAAAGGAGCUUAAAACAAAAAAGACAGCCGCUUAUUCUCAAAUUUCAGCACAUAUACUCAUCAAAAUUUAGAAUUUCACAUUGCAAACCCGAGCUCAGUGCUCAAGGGUUGCCAAUCAUGCUUUUUAUGCAAGAUCUAAUUAAGCUAAGAAGGUAUAAUGCUCAUUUUGUAUGGAAAGAAUUCUGAAAUUUUUUAAAAUUUGGGCAAAAUUUGAACCCCGAAGUUUAGACUAAACAUGCAAGCUAAGCAAGCUAUUACCCACACCCACUCAAAAAAUUGCUUUGUAUGUCCUAAAAGCUUUUGAAAAUCAAAGUAAAUGGAGAAAAAUAAGGGGGGAACUUUGGACUCCCCUAGAAGGAUCGACAUCCUUGACUUUGGUUUGAAGCUUGCAUGGAUAAACCUUUUCAUUCCUUUUUAAUUGAUUAUUCAUCGUUGUUCCUGAAAAUCAAAGGAAAUUCUCUCAAUUUUAUAUAUUACUAAAAUUAGGAUACAUAUAAGUCUUAACUAGUCUAAUAGCACCCUCCAUUCAUCUUCCCCUACACUGGCUAUGGUAUCAAAAUUUUCAAUUAAGUAAUACGUCUACUAACAAACUUGAAAACAAAAGACAUCACACUAAAAAACACAAACAUCACUUUAACCCAACAGAAGCUGCUCUUUUUACCCUUGCACUCACUAUCACAUUACUAUCAUGUUUGUCAACUGUCAAACUAACUCUUUUAAGUUAUUUAGUGUGACUACAAAGUUAUUAACACCAUAAUCUUAAUUAAAACCUUUUAAUAAACAAAUGCCAAGUUACUACUCAACAAUGGCAAGGAAUUCAAAAAACAUGACUGUAACGACCCAACUUUUCUAAGUAAGUCGAUGUCAUUAAUUUCAAAUAAGGACCUGAGUUUACACAAAAUCUCAAUCUCAAACAAUUUCAAAGUCUCAAGAAAAACAAAAAUUUAUAUCUGGGCCCUGUUUAAAAUAACCAGCACCUUCAAGACAAAUUUACUAAUUCGUGAAUACAGUUCAACUAUAAAAUUUUCUAAACAAUCUCAAGUACUAAACAAAACACGUGAAACAAAACAUUUAGUGGAAGCAAUUUAAAAUAACCCCUAUGGCAAUCACGCUUCCUUUCUGCCCCUCGCCGGUUUGGCGUCUUUAUUACCUUUGCCUGAAAAUUAAACAUAAGGAGGGUGAGUAUAAAAAUACUCAGUAAGAGACCCUCUACUGGUCCCGUCAGGGGAAAAUAAAUUGUUAACAUUCUAUUGGGACACCCUCUACAGUCACAGUCUUGUGAUCCCGUAGGAUGCACAUUUCAGUCUAACACCCCGAAGGACGUACAUUUUAGUCUAGUGUUCUGCAGAAACACAUAUCAGUCUAAUGCUCCUGAAGGUGCAAAAUAAUUGGUGAUCCGUGGGACACCUACAAGGCACACAUCCCAAUAAAAGCUAACAAUUUUUCCCCUCAGUCCAUUCUAAACAUCUUAACAGUCAUUCACAGAUCAGUUAAACAUUCUCAUCACGUAAACUCCUUAUUUAACCUCAAACAGUCGUCUUACUCUAAUUUAGUCCAAGGUCAAUAAAAAAACAUAUCAUUACAUCAGUUAACAAACUAAACAAUCAUAACCUCCUCCUCAGUCACCAAGGGCACCACCAUGACGUUUCUUCCGUUCACAAGCACACAACAUAACAGUAGAUUAUACACUCAGUCUAGACAACAAUCAAUCUACUAAUCAAAUCCACACUUUAUAUAAGCAACAUCUACGAGAUUCAGUCUUUUCCACAUCCUUAUCUUUGUACACAUACAUAACCAGACAGUCACAACAUAUACUCAACCACAGUCUACAUCAAUCCAUGCACAUAUAUGUAUUAAUUUCUCACAGUCAAACAUAGCAAACAUUAAACUUUAAGUCAAUGCCCAAACAUACAUCAUAACAGUCAUCUCUACUCAGUUCAAAUAUAAUAAUACGGUCCAUACAGUCAAUACAUCUUAAUAAGUCAUUAUAUCUUAAUUUUGUUGUUGAGUCUAGUAGAAAAUCUCUUACUUUCAAGUUAGUUAAGCUCCUUAACCACGUUGAAGUCUACGAAGAACGAACCUAAACAUUAAGACAAUUUCUCAAUAAUUCUCUUCAAGGCAUCAAUCAUUUAAAUUCAACCCAAUGUGAUUUAUUUUUUACAACUUACCCAAAUCUUCACGAAACGAGUUCCAAUUAGAAUCAAUUGUUUGCUGUGAACCCAAGGAAUUCGAGCGUUACCUUCAACCUAUAAUCGAACAAGUAAACGAUUUAUCCAACCAAUUAAUCCAGCAAUAUUACUUGAGUUUAUUUUGGAAACAGUUACAAAUUUCAUAACUUCAAUCUUACCAAUCAAAAUUUAAUGACUCGUGGCAAAGCAGGAACGACAGCGAACAACCCAAUCGAAUGGCGUGGGUUUGCUACCUGCGGCAGAACGAAGAAGGAACUCGACGCGCAGAAAGUUGGAUCUGGGGUCUUUAGUUCGGUUCACGGUAGCGAAUGAAAACCUGAUUGCGCAGACGUCAAAGGUGUUAUUCGCGGAAGAAGUCGAGCAGCAGCUUUGUGAAGAGACGACGUGCGAGGAGAGACUGUAUACAGACGGACGGAGAGUCGCGCGACAGUGCAGAAAACGGAGGAGAAAGGAAUGGGCGGCGGCUGGGCUUGGCUUCGACGGAGACAGAGGCGAUUAGGACGGGGCACGGCGACGCAGAUCUGGACGACGGCGCGGAGACAGAGGUUGCGCGGCGCUGGGCAGAGGGUCACACGGCGCUGGGCGAAGGGUCACACGGCGCUGGGCGGAAGGUCACACGGCGGCCUUGCUUCGCGAACAGAGAUGGCGGUCGACGGUUGCAGCGGCGGCUGGGUAUGGUAGAAAAGAAAGAGAAACGGAAGAAGAAUAGGGGCGGCGACCGUGGAUUGGAGAAGAAAAGAAGGAGGAAAGCGAUGGUGGUCGGUUGGAGGGUGCGGCUGGAGGUAGGGAUCGGUGAAGGAGAAAAUAGAAAAAGAAAAUGAAGGGGAAAGGGGGGUUGGGCGCGAGAGGAAGAAGAAAGGAAAAAAAAUUCUGUUUUUUUUUUUUCUUUUAUUUAAAUUAAAUAAUAAAACUAAAAUAUAAAUAAAUAUAUAUAUAAUUAUAUUAUCACAUUUUCAAAUCUUCUUUCUCCCCCUUCAACAUAUUUUCUUCAAAAAAAUAAAUCUUGUACAAAUCGAAUAAUUUUCUUAAAAUAAAUUACCUUCGAGUUUGGGGCGUUACAAUGACAGCUAUAUUGUAACUUGGCACUUGGGGACUUUAAUGGUGUCAAUAUUGUAACUUCUGGUGCCAUGACAAAUAUUGGUGACUGUCAAGAUAAGUUCGCAUAGCCACCGAAAGAUACAUCGUUGCUUUUGAAAAAUGGCAAGACUCUAAAUGAUAUAUGCAACAUUAUUUUGGUUAUAUCCAAUCUUUUUUUAAGGCUAUGUACUUGAAGAUUUUAAUCAAUAAAUAAAAUGAAGUUUAAUUUUUAAAAUAAUAACAUUACAAUGGGAUGGCGAUUGGAAUUGAUUACUUUGGUUAAAAUUUAAGAUUAGAUUAAAAAAAUCAAUUAAUAGAUAAUUCCAUCUAAUCAAAAUAACUAAAUAAAAGACGAGAUUUGAAAAUAUAAUAUCCUAAUAUACACUAAUAGACUUAUAUUAAUAGAUAAUUUCCUGCCGAUGAAAAAUUACUAAAGUUGUACUAUAUUUUAUAAAUAUUUUAAAACAUUACAUAAACACUAAUUAAAGUUGGGUUUAGUAGCAAAAGGUUACAAAUUUAUUGACACCUUCUUUUAGGAAAAAAAAAUACCUUGACAUGAGGUAAACUAAAUUUGUAAUCAGCGUUGAAAUCUUUACUAUAUUAAAUGGGCUCGUGGAGAAAAAAUUAUAUACAUCUAUUUUAUUCUUAAAUUGUCGAAAAAAAAUUAUAUUACCUUUUGUGAUCUAACGUAGUUGUGAUUUUUAUAGUGUAAGUGUCCAUUUUAAUGUUUGGAAAGAUGAUUUUUCCAAUUUUUUAGUUUACAAAAUAAAGUUCUAUAUUUUAAAAAAUAAAACCUUAUGUUGAAUAUGUGUAACUAAUGUUGAUAGGAUGUGAUUGGUUGAUCUUCAAGAUACGAUGCAUUCUGUUUAGAGUGGAGAUGGUUGCACACACAUCAAAUUUGCGUUGAUUCCUCCAAAUUUACAUGUGAAAUGUAAAUGUAAAAGAAAAACAAAAUAAACUCUUGCAGUUACACAUUAAAAAAAAAAAACGUCACGAAAUUCCAAAGUUCAAAAGAAAACAAACACACACAGGGAUUUAAUUGAUUCAAAGUAGUAACGAAUGGUGAAAAAAUGCAUCAUUUCUUGUGAUUUCACAUUAACAUGUUAGAAUAAAAAAUUAUCGUAUUCUAUAUAUUACAAUAUUGGAUCAAAUAUUAAUACAUUAAUUUAAUUAUUUAAUUACUACAACAAUGAAUUUCUUUUUCUUUUUUAAAUAAUAAUUUUACCAUUAAUAUUAUAUAAUAUUUGUUUAUUAUAUGCUAAAGCAUAUUUAAAAAUUAAAUAGAAUUAAGAGAUUUCACGUGAAUUUAUGCACAUGUUUCAACUGAAAAGAUGGAAACAAUAGUCACAAAUUAUUUUUUCCUAAAACAAAACAUUCAUAACCAAAUCUAAAUAUGCACUUUCAUAACUAAGGACCAAAACUCAUAUUACGUAGAAUUGAGCAUGGUUUAAAUGAAAUUAUUAACAAAAUACUUACACUUUACACCAGGUUUUUUGGCAACAUACCACUAGUAGAAAAGUGGUAUACGAUGACAGUUAUUUACUGUCGUAAACGAAAUUCGCGACAGUUAUUUUCAGUAAUAGAAGCGGGAGUCAUGGAAAGUCCUUCGAUGAUAGUUUUUAAAAACUGUCGCAAUAAGUUAUUUUAUGACAUGAAAUAAAUGUCGUUAAUCAGAAUUCAAUGACGUCAAAUAACUGUCAUAUUUUAUUUUAUGACAACAAAUAACUAUCAUCAUUUGUGGAUUAACGACGGUUAAAUAAAUGUCGCAAAUUCAUUUAUUGUGACAUUUUUUAAUUGUCAUGAAUAUGUUAAUCGCGACAGUUUUUUUAUAUAAAAAUGUCAUUGUUUUGCUAUUGACGACAUUUUUUUCCUGUCACAUCUAGGGCAAUCGUGACAAUUUAUUUUAUUAAACAACUAUCAUCGUUUUCGGAUUGACAACAAUUAAUAACUGUCACAAAUUCAUUUAUUACGUCAUUUAUUUUCUGUUGCAAAUUUCUCAAUUUACUACAGUUUUUUCCUGUUCUCCUUGUCGCUCCACCAUUACACAAACCAUUUGAAUGACAAUAAUGUAGCUGAGAAUGACAAUUUUGAAUUUAUAAUAUUGACACCCAUAUAGAAAAAAGUAGCCAACACUUUAAUAUAUAUACGAUAUAAUACAAUUUAUAAUAUUUGUACAUUUCCAAUCAAGUGUCAACAAUUUACAAGUACGGAAUCCCAACCCUUAAUCAAAAAAUAUUUUAAAUAGCAUUAGAAUACAUCUAACAAGAUUUUCUGCAGAAGCAUAAACGACCAACCGAGAAUGUUCGUCUCUGAAAAUGUUCUUGGAAAGUAAACUUAUGAAGUUGUUGACUCCAGUUGAACCUACAAAGACAACAUGAAUAUAAGCAUCCAUCAUAGGACAAGAGAGUACAACUCUUAUAGAAACUUUCAACAUUGAACAUUACCUAUCACUACAUGCGUCGAUAAGAGAAACAACUACAUAGCAGAGCACAAAUGUAGAAUAACAGCAUCACCGUAACAUCCACUUGGUCUACAAUAUUGAAACUUUUUACAAAUUACAACUCUUGUAUCAUUGCUCUUUAGAAAAUUUACCUGGAUAUAAAUAAGUAAUCUACAAGGAAAUUAUUGAAUAAGUAAUCAUAAGUAAUAAUCGAGAUGAAUGAAACUUAAGAAUCCAUUAGUAGUUCACUGUCAAUAAGGUUGGAAGAAACGUUAUCCGAUAAGAACCGAAAAGUUUCCAUCUUAAGGAGUCAAACACUUUCAUCAGAAAUAAGACAGUUUUCAUGUGUAAUCCACUUCAGUUAACGAAGCCAAGAAAUAUUAAGGUACUAGGAAAAUGAAACUAGAACAACUUGUAUCAUUUAUGGCUUAACAGAAAUUAAAGGUCUCCUAGUUUCUUAUCCAAAAAAAGCUCUACCAAUGAGUAUGACAUAAAAUCCAUGACAAUUUACAAAAGUAGCAAUUUAGCAAUAGCAAUAAGUACAGACAUAACACCCAUGACAAUUUACACAAGUAGCAAUAGCCAACCAGUACAAGCAUACUAUCCAUGAUAAAAAAGAAAGGUAUCUAUUACUCUUAAUCCUAUAAUAUGAACGACAUUAACUAAGAAGGGACCAUUGACAUGUACCUGAUGUUCUAAUUCCAUGGAGAUCGAAGUCCCGAAUGAGCUUCCACAAGUUAACAUCCUACAAUACAAUACAUUUUAGUUAAAUCAUAUAGCAACUCAUUAAACAUAUAGAGAAGGACUUCCAACUGACAUUUGGAAAAGAGUUGGGUUGAUCAAUUUUUGUGGCAUGGGGAGCAAUGUUAUCUUGAGCAAAUUGUUUAACACUUUCUUUGAACUGCAAUCAGUUAAUCAAGAAUUUUGAUAUAUUGACAUUAUAAAUGAAACUACAUACAAAUCAUUUUUGUAAUAAACUAAUUUGAACCAUUUACUAUCAUUUAAAUAAAGCGAGAGAGAAAAGAGGAAGCCUUAAAAGCAAGAUUCUUAAUAUAUCCUCAUAAAAAAAAAAAAAAACUUGUUCAAGUGUCAAAGUCGACAAAAAAAAAAAAAAACUGCAACUGACAAAAACGAAAGAACUAUGAUUAUUUGAUGAUGUUUGGUUCAAUAAGUAGGAAUGUAGCUUGGAACCUUUUCUCAUUUUCUCCAACUGCCAGAACAUUCAAGACAUUUUUUAAAGAUUCACAACACUCUAUCACUUCACAUUUCAUGUACUCAUCUGCACAAAUGUGCUUCCAUAGGUCAUAAUCUCUGGAUUAAAAUUCAACAGCCAUAUCCAAUGCUAUUGGAAUAUGUAGCAGUAUAAAAAUUGUUAACAGUUGCUAUAAGUAUGCCUAAAAAUUUCAACAGCCAUAUCCAAUGCUAUUGGAAUCUGUAGCAGUAGAAAAAUUGUUAACAGUUGCUAUAAGUAUGCCUAAAAAUUUCAACAGCCAUAUCCAAUGCUAUUGGAAUCUGUAGCAGUAGAAAAAUUGUUAACAGUUGCUAUAAGUAUGCCUAAAAAUUAAAAGAAAACAUAAAGGGACUAUAUUGACCUUGCUGGCUAGUAAAAAGGGAGGCAUUUGGAUUAUUUUUAGGCUGGGAUAUGAGGAAUAAGGAACUAGCAAGAGAUCCAUCUCUCUGUUUCAUUUGAAAAUUUAGUUUAGUUUUAAAAUUAUAAUUGAAAGGAUGCUUGGAAUGAAGAAUUCUAAUUUUUAGGCAAGAGUUCUAAUAAACUCUAUGGGUGUAUCUCCUAAUCCUCCGUUUCUAACUUUAUUGUCUUUCCCAAGAGAUUUGACAAGAUAAUUUUAUCUGAUAUUGAAGAAAUUUCACCAAUUGUGGGCUGCAAAUAGUUCAAAUAGAACUAGUAUUGGAAUAUAUAGAAUAUACAAAAUACCCUAGCCCAUACGAAACAAAAGAACUCCAAGACAUAGAAGAAGCAAAAGUCAUUAAAAGAAAUGGAUGAAGUGCAAACAUACACAAGACAACUAGCAGUAACUACCACAAUAUGCUUAUGAACCAACAACUGAAGUAACCUAACUAAUAACAAAGUCAACCUAUCACAAAAGCACAAGUUUUCAUUUUUCAACCAAUAGAGGCAUGCCUGCAAAUAACCAUCAUCUUUUGUAGACUUUAGAAAGAUGUCUGACAAAGCAGACAAUAACUUGGAGAACAGGACUUAAGUAUAGUCCGGAAAUAUGAGACUACAUUUUUCAACUAAAAGGCUAAUUCCUUAAACAUCAUGUAAAUCAAGUCCCUUUGAAUUGCAUAAACAUGGCACCAACUCCAUUGCUGAAUGAAUAAAGCAUAAACUACCUUAAUAAAGCAUAAAUUUACCCAAAUGCAAUAUUGUGAAUUAAUUGCAACAUCUUUAGUGAACAUAAAGGGGCUAUAUUGACCUUGGGAAAGACAAUUUGAAUGAAUAAAUCAUAAACUACCUUAAUAAGUUUAUCAGAUGCAACGUAUCAUUUCGCUUCUUCAAGACUCAUCUCUGCAUUUAAGUUUAGAAUUAGAUGUUAGUGUGAGUAAUCAUACUUAGGAAAAGAGAAUAAAGCUUUUCAGCCUACUCGUGUCUUGACGUUCUAGAACUGAAUUCUACAUCUUGGAUACUGGAUUCACAAUAACACUAAAAUAUAUACAAUUGGAACUCAAUGUAGAAAUAACAUACAAGUCGAGGUGGAGAUAGCUUCAUGUUUUCAUCUUUGCAAGCAAAACGGAUAUUGGUAAGUUUUCUUUAGUUCUUACAAGAUUAACCUAGAAAAAAGAAAAUUGCUUAUCAUGUAAAUCAAGUAGAAAUUACAACUUCGAUCCAAAGUCUAAACAUAAAGUUCUCAACUUACAUCUAGAUUUGAUUCCCUAGAAUGUUCUCCAAUAAUCAUUCCAUCAUAAAUCUGGAACAUAAAUUAUCAGGAAAACUGAGCAGAACAUUUUCGAGGACCCAUAUAUUAUCUACAAUGAAAAGAUAAUGGAUCCUCAGUCUAAUGGAGACAACAAAAUAUACAUUUAGACCAACUCAUAGCAUAAAAGAUAAUAGGUCUAUGAAUCAAAUGAUUUUAGGGUAUCAAAAAUAGCUCCUAAACAAACGUAUAUAUAAUUGAACAUCCACGCUUCCUGCCUAUGAAAACAGGGAAACAAUUAAUUCACGAGAUUGAACAUUUUGAGAAACUUCUAUCCAAAAGGAGGAAAGAGGGGUGGAAAGUGUACACUAAAAAACCAUUAUGCACCAUAUAGAUGAAUUGACAUGACUUAGCUACAAAUACUUGUGCAAACUGCAAAAUGACAGCAACUAGCACAAUAAAAACAAAUCAAACAAUUUUCUAAAUGGUGAAUUGCCAAUUGCCAAACUAAACUUCAUUACAACAAGUCUAAUAUACUAAGUUAAAAAUAGGCUUCAGUGUGUGUAACAAUCAGAUCAUAGAACACACUCGCACAAUGCAAAAGAAAAAGAAAAAAACUUUUAAAGCUUCAGACACAUAUCGUCAAACACCUUACAAGCACAAACUAAUAUCAUAUUUUCUCAUAAUCUCACAAAAAAAAAAUCUUGUUUAAGUUUCAAGAUAAAAUUGAUUGAUGAUGUUCUUUUUUAGAAGAUUUCAAGAAAUAAAUAAGAGAAUACUUCAACUUUUCUGCAUGAUUCCAAAAUCCUAUCAAUCAAGAAAUCUUGUUGUAAUCCCAACAAGAAAAACUUAUGUUCUUCCUCCGUCCACAGUACAACAAGAUAAAACCUAACGAAAAUCCUAAAUGUAUUAAGUGAAAAUCCCCACAAAUUAUCAGUCAUUUACACAACUACUCCAAAUCAUAUCUUAAAAUCACUAGAUAAGCACCAAUUCAAAGAAAAAUGGAGAAAAUCAAACCUUGCUAGCAUGUAGACGUUUUUGUUAAAUAUUGAAUCCUGAAAAACCAUUCUCAGCACACUAAGAAACAUUCAUAGAAACAUAAGAUGUGACAAUCAAGACCAAGGCAGAGUUGGAGUUCAUAAAAAUUUAAUAGUUUUUUUUUUUUUAGGAAUUUCAUCAAACACAUGGUGGGUAAAUUCAAAGUUGUUCAGGCCAUAAGAACAUCCCAAUAGCAAAUGCUCUUUUCCCUUAAGGGUACCAUCAAAACAGAGUCCAUAUUGUUUUAGAAGCAAAUUCAACUUACCUUCCCCCAUUUUCUCAUAAUCCCUCUUCGUGUACUUAGGAUAAUGAAGCAACAUUUGAACACCCACCUUCAAAAUUCAAACUUCCACCAUGAAAAAAAGAAAAAAAACUCACCCCUCCUUCUUCUUCUGACUUGGGUAAGAAGAAGAGGGGUAGUUGAAACUCAUGUAUAAAGACAUUGGAUUGUUGGAAUGUUUAUGAAAGGAAAAUACACAAUAUUCACAAAGAGAGAGACAAAGAGAGAAGGAAUGGCAGCGCCGGAGAAGACGAAAACGAUGGACACAUCGGAGCGAAUAGAUGGCCACGCCAGAGUGAACAGACGGCCAGGAGUAGGGGCGAAUGGUGACGAGGCCGGAAGAUGGUCGGAUUGGAGAUGGAAGACGAUCAGAUUGGAGAUGGAGAUUUCGCGGAAGAAUUGGGGAAAAUAAUAAGGGUUUACGAUUUGGGGAAAUAUUUUCUAAAUUUCUAAUCUUUAUUUAUUAUUUUUUUAAUAAAAAUAUAUUAUUUUAUGUUUUUUUCUAUGACAUCAAAUAACUGUCGCGGAAUGUAUUAUCCGAAAAAUUCCGUCUUUUCCCGCCAAAAACGCGAAAUUUUACAUUUUGUGACAGUUCUUUUUUCUCUCUCUCAUUUUCUGAUAUACAUAACUGUCAUAGUAGACAGUUUUUCUUCUAGUGUACAUAGUGAGAAAAUUCAAAAUUUACCCUCUUACUUGUAUCUUUUCAAUAAAAAGUGCAUCUUAGUUGUAAUUAUGUCAAAAUAAAAAAUAAAAAAAUAACUCGUCAGUUAACGUGGUUAUCCAUUAACUGAUUUGGGUGAACUUUCUAAAGAUAAAAAUAACAAAAACAAACAAACAAAAGACUAGAACAUGUUAUUUAAUUAUGUAAUUACAACUUCCCUUUCUCCUCCGUGAGAAAAAAAACCAUUUCUCUAAAUUUCAUCUAUAUAUGUGUAUUGAUCAAAUGACCCAUAUCAAUAAGGACACAAAAUUGGCAAAGAACAAAUAAAUUAAAAUGGCCAAUAACUCUUGUUUCAUUACUUUCUCUCUCAUUGGAGUUCUUUUGUUCACCAUCAUUUCAAAUGUGGCAUCAUCUAACGACGUUGUUUCUACCAUCUGUUCAGAAAUCUCAAAUCCACAAUUUUGUUUAAGUGUGUUGAAAUCUGCAGGCACUACAGAUCUAAAAGGCUUGGCUGUAUACACCUUAAACCUUGCUCAUUCAAAUGCUGGCAAAUCUUUGAUCCUAGCCAACUCACUAGCAAAAGCCACCACCAAUCCUCAACUUAAGCAACGAUAUUCAUUUUGUGCUGAGAGCUAUGAUGAAGUUGUUGGUGACAUUGAAAAUGCUCAAAACGACUUGGCACUUGGGGACUUUAUUGGUGUCAUUAUUGUAACUACUGGUGCCAUGACAACUCUUGGUGAUCACUGUCAGAAUAAGCUCUUGCAGCCGCCGAAGGAUACAUCGUUGCUUUUAAAGAAUAGCAACACUCUAGAUGAUAUAUUUAGCAUUAUUAUGGUUAUAUCCGAUCAUCUUUGAGGGUUAUGUACUUGAACAUUUUGAUCAAUAAAUAAACUGAAGUUUAAUUUUUAAAAUAAUAUUACAAUGUGAUGGUGAUUGGAAUUGAUUACUUACUUUGAUUAAACUUGAGAAGAUAAAGAAAAUCAAUUAAUAGAAACGUUCACCGACACACAUUGUCAGCACGUCGGAGAAAGCCUAAACUUUUUUUUCUUUUCUUUUACGUUCUGUUUUCUUUUCUUUGUUUGCCAUCAUCAUCAUCAUCAUCUUCUUCUUCUAGCUUGUUACGUUAUGUUUCAAUUGCAUACUUCUGUUAUUCUUGUAAUUUCUUCGUGGUUUUCUUUUUAACUUUGUGUUUCAGUGUGGAUUCAUAAACACAUUUUUCGGUGCUCUGGAUUCUGGAUCUGUUAUGAUUUGAAAGGGUACAGUGAAGUGAAAAGUUGAAAUGGAAAAGAAAAAAGAAGAAAUGAGGACACUUCUCAUGGUGGUGGCAGCAAAGACGAACGGCGACGACAACACAACUCUCAUCCUCUCCCUAUAUCUUGAUCGAUUUUGGGUUUAUUUUCGUUUUGCAUUCUGUUAUGUGUGGAAGGGAGAAUAAAUAGUGUGGACUUUCCCCGACGUCUUCGAAAACGUUGGGAAAUUUACCUUUCGUCGACGUAUGUAGUAAACACGUCGGAGAAAGUUUAAAUAAUAAAUUCAUUAUUUAAACUUUUCCCGACGUACUCCUGUCAUACGAGUCUAAAUUAAAUUUAAUGCGUUCACCUUCGGCGAUGUGUGUCAAGGUGACGUUGGAAAAAGUUUAAACACUAAUGCAAUUAUUUUAAAUCACAUAUGUUAUCGCUUAUAAGGCAUAGGAGUCUAUUAACGAUAGAAACCUAUCUUGAUAGGUUUUGCUACAUUUACCAUUUUUAAAAAACAUUCUUAUAUACUUAACUAUUAUUCCUAAAAUUGCUAACCCAUUAUACUUUCCCUAAGUUAAAUGUAUAAUGUCAAAAGUAAGUUUACUACGAAGGUAAUCUAUGUGACCCUUUUAUCCUAACGUAGGAAGUUUGUUCCACUCCAUACCAUUAUUGAACUAAAAGGAUUAAGUGUGUAUUAAUAUGUUUAAACAAGUAUAAUUAUAGCAAAAUCUAUAAGUGAUAUAUUGAUAUUAGCAAUACAAUACGCGUCACAUAUGCAAACAUUUUGUGUCUAAUCGUUGUAUUUACAAUUAACUCCAUUAAAAUAUUACAAAUAGAAAUAGAACUCUUUAACCUAAGUUCAGUUAGGAUCACAAACUACGAAACGAAAGCAUGGAACAAAUUUAAUUUGUUUUUUUUUCUUUAAAGGAAAUUUUGUGCGUAGCACAUUAUAUUUUUUUCUUUCCUUUAAAAAACAUUAUUGAUCUUAUGAUAUUUGGCAGAGAUUGUAGUUUUUUAAGAAUGUAAAUAAUGUAAAUAAUGUGCCAAAUAAUUGAAAACAUGUUAUCCGAAACAGAGAAUGGUUAAGAAAUUGUUGACAUUUAGUCAAAUUAAUAAAUAAUUCAAAUUUAGGUUUGAUUUUUGAAUUUGAAACUAUAGUAAAUUAGAAGUGUUUUGAAACAGUGUUUACGAAAAGAUUUUUAAUUUUAAACAGCAUUAUAGUGCGUAAACAUUUUUAAUUUUAAACAGCAUUAUAGUGCGUAAACAUUUUUAAUUUUAAACAGCAUUAUAGUAGCUAUAGAUACCAUAUAAUAGUCUACACAAUCUUUGUUCCAAAUGAUCAAUUCGAUUUUUUAAAUCAAGUCUAAUGUUUUUUUUUUUUUUUUUUGCCUAUUUCUUACCAUAAUUUACAUUUUUUGUAAGUAUAAUGGUUGAGUGCAAAAAGAGAGUUGACUAGUAAGUGCAAAAAGAGAGCUUACAAGCUUCUGCAAAAGCUAAUCAAGCAACCUAAAUCAUAAACGAGGAGAAAAGUUGAUUGAUUAAGCUUUGUUGUGGUAAAGAAGAAGUCAAAGUGAACAUCGAACGUUCUUCACUCUUAAAGAACAUCGCGAACAGAUAGAUUAUAUAUACUUUUCUGGAAUUGACCCAAAAAAUUCAGUCCCAAUGUAUUUUAUGGUGAGAUGCAUAGUUUAACUAAACCGUGUUAUUACAAAAUUUUCAAUUACUAGGAACUCUUAAUGAAACGAAUACAUUAUUUUUAUAAUUACGAGGUAAAAUGGAAAUAUACAAACUACUAAAAAAAGCUGCAAAUCCAUUAUUGGGAUUCAAUCUACUCUCCAAGCAUGUUCUUGAAAUGAGAGUUUUUAAGCAGCUACAACUUGCUUAUGUGUAAAAGCAAAACCCUUUUCAACGCCUGCCUUCAGUUUUGGCUUUAGAGCUUCAAGUGCUUUUUGCCCCUACUCAGAUAAACCCUGAAGAUCAAAUGUUACAAAGGCUUCAAUUCCACAUGCAAAAAUCAUGUUCAUGAACCAAAAGCACCUUAAGCUUCUCUUCGAUAUCUUUGAGCUCACUGUAUAAAGAACUGAUUUCUAAAGCAAUCAUCUCUACUAUAUCCUCAUCGUUCCCACUCUCUUUUAAUAAGGCUGGCAUGAUAAUCACAACAAAGAAGAAAAAACUAAGAUAAAUUUAACAAAUUUUAUGUUGGGAAACUUUUUUAAGAACAACUACUUAUAAGCCAACCUUAGCUUUGGCCUCACAUUCCUUGAAGUUUCUAAAAGUAGAUACCACCUGUCCGGGCAACCCACACCAACCAACCAAGAGUAAGUUAGUGUGAAAGACACUUAUUUAAGGAAGAAUAUGUAAAAGAGGUCAUUCAAACUGUUACACAUAAUAGUAUUGGAGGCAAAUAACCUUGCCAUAACUCAUCAAGUUCUGAUAUUGAUUGGGCUAGUUUUUGAUACUCUGUGGGGUUUGAGACAAUAUCUGGAUUGGCCAGCUUGACCUAAAUAAUAAUAUCGAUAGUGAUUAUUGUGUAGGAAAAUAUUAAAGCUAUAACUAAAUGAAAAGCAUAAUUAGAAAUACAUCAAAGAUGUAAAUGCAAAUUUCAAAAGUGGAUCUACAGAAUGUAAGGGGAAGAAACUCAAAUACAAUUACUUUAUUAGUUAUACGACUACUAUAGAGAUUCUAGAUACACCACAGUUCCACGUCCUCUUUUAGGAGGAAAGCAAUGGUGAAAAAUUAAUUGUGAAAACUAAAGAAGGUCCUAUUUAAAUCCUAACUGCAAUAGGAAAGCAAGGAGUUAUAAGGUGAUCACUAUAGCCAAAUCCAAAAUGCAUUCAGUAUUUGUCUUCCAAUUUCAUUAUCAAGUGCAUAGACAAGGUCCCUAGUGAGGAAGUUAUUCGUUCUUUUCUUCAUUUUCUAUAGCUCUAGAAGUAGCUAAAUGGAAUCGUCAAUCACCUAAUCUAUUAAUUUUAAAACUCAAAAGUUCACCGCGGGAUUCUAGUCACUGCUGAAACAGCAUAGAGUUCACUAGUUCCACAGUUAAAUUAACUGCAAAUUGCAUUUCCUGGCAUUUUCAAGAAACAAAAAUGCACAAAUCAUAAUAUGAUGAAGCAGAAAAAUUCUGUGAGCUCGACUUUUCCAGGACAUAUCUUAGCUACUUCUCCUAUUCUAGCUCGAUAACCAUUGUACUUCAACAACCGAAACAUUAAUCCAAUAGUUAACAAUGUUCUGCACUUUAUGCCCUUACAUUUCCAACGACUUAAUGCAUACAUCAGUAGUUAACACAGACACGGGCUCUUAAAUUCAAUGCAAAAUAACAGUCCCAUUCCAAGCAUAAACACCAGAUACAAACAAUUGAUGGACUUGAAUCAGUAAAGAAAUAAGAAUGUUAUUUAACAGCAAAGCACAAAUUAUCGAUAAUUUUUCCACGUCUUCUCAGCAGAUUCCAGUUUCACGAUCAAAUAAGGUUCCUAAAAUAAAGCAAUCACCAUCAUCAUUUUCCACAAAUAUGAUCCGAACUAGUUUUACCACAAAUUAAUUUCUAAUAACUUGAAGAAAAACUCAGUGAACUCAAAGCAUAACGAAACUUAAGUUCUGUUAAAGCCAAUCUAAACAAUAAGAUAUAGACAUAUUGUGUUCUCGAAAGAAAAACAUUUAAUAAAUCUAACAGCUAUGCAAAUAGAGUUGAAGCUCUAACGGGAGGUGCAUAGCAUUUAAGUUCCAGAGAGCAUCUUCUGAAAGCGAUGAGCCCAUAAGAUGAAAAAAGGGCCUCAAGUGAGGAAGAAAGACGCCAUCCAAACAUGAAAAAAGGAAGAAAGGCAAGAUUUUGGCAGUUCCAGGCCUGAGGGAAGCGAACAAGGUGGCGAGGGAGGCAAGGCCCCAAAAUUUAGCAUUGCCAACAAAGUGAAGGUGGAGAAGGAUCUUUCCUUUUAACGUGGCCCUCCGAGAGUUUAUGGACGCCCCCAAUUGGGGCGUUUGGAUGGAGUAAGUUCUUCAAGGGACUUCCUAGAUUCUGUGGAGGUUGUCAAGAAAUUCUACGCAUCAGAUUACAACCACUACAAGGAAUUCGGAUCAACAAACGCAAUUUAACACUAUUGGGAGAUAGAGUAUCUCCCGACACUAUCUCCCGACACAAUAAUAUGAGCAUCGUGAGAUAUAGUGUCUCUCGACACCUAACAUCUACGUCAGAUGUUAUUUACAAUCUCCCGAUGUUGUGUUGUGAGGCAUCAGGAGAUAGAGGCUAACUCUCGACGACAGUAGAAAAGAAAUGAGAGUUGUAGAGUAACUAUCAAAGCUGCUAAUAAAGGGAUGAUAGUUAGGGGAACUCCCGAUGCAUAUCGAGUUGGAUCGUGAGUUUGCAUUUAAAAUCCCCCCUCGAUUUAUAUUUCACAGAUCUGCCAAGAAGGGAAAAGUGAAAUCUGAAGAGAACUACGCCACUGUCGUCCUUGUUGUCUACCCUGGUGCCACUCCCGUCCUACAGUGUCGAUGCUCUACCUUUAAAUUUUGCCCUAAACUCUUUGUUCUCUAGAAUUCUUUAUGUCCUAAGAUCGGUUAUGUUCUUGUUUUUCAUGUGUGUCCUAAAAUCCUUUUGUGUCAUAAGCUAGAUUUAAAUUUUCGUCUAAAAUCCUUUGUUUUUCAUGUGUCCUAAGAGAUUCUCCUAUACUGGUCGUCGGCUCCUCUGCAUAGCCAUAUAGUCUUUUGGAUUUAUUUAGGCUUGGCCUUCUUUCACCUAGUAGGGUGGGUUUACUGUAAAAGCUUCUAAGGUCAGUUCUAGAGGGUUUUUUAGCAGUCUUGAAAUUCCCGAAGGCUAUAGAAAGCAUUUCUUGAAAUUUAAAACUGAAAUUUUGAGGUAAGCAAGUUAAGACAAUUUUAAGAAAAUUUGUAGAAAUAACUUUUCCAUUUUAAUGGCUGGAUUAAAGGUUAUAAGCAUUGAAAGUUGAAUGAAGUUUCUGGAAUUCUCACAGUUUCUGGGCAAGCUUAAGGUAGUCGAGCAUCACGCAGUGAAAGGGUUGGUUAAGAGUGCAUUGUUCAGGUAAGGGGAGGUUAUUUCAAUCAGAUUGAGGGUGCACGACACGGUCAAGGCACAGUCGAGCGACAUGGUUGCGCUCAAGUUGUGCACAUGGCCAUGAAUACCUUGUAAAGUGGAAGAACCUUCCUGUAGAAGAAACCAGAUGAGAACGUGUUAAAGAUCUUGAAGCCUAUAUGUAGAAGAUCGAAGAGCUCAAGUUUUGCCAGUGGACAGAAACACCAACUGUUUAAGUAGGGGAGAAUGUCACGAGCAUGCUUGUUUAGAGCGUUGUUUGCCUAUGGCCGCAUGCCUAAAUACCCCAAAAUCAUCUUGUCUUUAUGUCCUAUGCUUAGUUUAGUCUAUUGCUUUCCUUUUCAUGUCAUAGACCUAGGAUGUGACAUUGCACUCAUUUUCAUAUGCAAGCCAUUCAAAUCUAAAAAAGGCUAAAAUGUACUACAAGAGAGACCAAGUAGUUGAAUCCCAGACCAAGUCUUGUCAUACUCUUUGCAAUUGAGAGUCUUCAAUGCUUUCUCUAAUGACGUUUUCAAUGAUUUUCUUUCUCUCACGUUCUAUAAAACAAUUUUCUCAAGAACGUGAAGAGAGGUACAUUAUACCAUGAGUUUCUCUACAAUUUUUGUAUUUUACACGGCUGACUUGUUGACGAGCAGAACAAGUGCCGCACAAUCGUUUGUCCCAUGUUUGAAAGAUUGCGAUUAUGACAAGUGGUAUCAGAGCCUAAGUUGACUAAUUGACGGUUAAGACGUGAACAUGUCCACAACAAAACAGGUGCUCUACUUAAGUAAACAUGGCUUAUUGGCCCAUGCAGGUUGAUUGGUAGAGCUUGAAGAGCAGAUGCUCUACCUAGUGGAAGUUCCUGACUCCAUCCGUUUCUUUGGAAACCCGUCUUGAAGAAAUUUCUCAGAAAGUUGUUGCUAUUAAUGCGGAAACUGGUCGUCUUGACAAAAUACCCAUUCAAGAGUUGUUGACAAGAGUUGACACUCUAGAGACAAAAGUUGUAAGAACUGGAAACUACGAGCGUGGAGACAGUUCGAUGACCUUUGUUGCCCAUAUAGAAGAAUGCAUGGUUGUGCUGGAUAGCUUUCAGAAGAUGAUUAUGGAAAUUAUUGAAAAGAGAGACAACGAGUUCACACCAAUUUACGUGGAAACCCGAGUACCGGGAGAAAAACCACGAUUGUUUGUGUUGUUAUUAUUUUCUAAUGAAUAAAACAAUAGGUAUAGGGAAGAAUAAAUAGAGUACACAAUGGAAUAAAAAAGGAAAAGAUUUAGGAAAAUAAGGAAUACAUUCCCAUAAUCUUUCCAUAAUUAUUCUAGGAUUCUAACAAGGAAAAAGCCUAGAGAAAAGGAAAGAAUUCCAACACUCCCCCUCAAGUUGGGACGUAAAUAUCAAUGAGGCCCAACUUGCUAACGCAAAAGUCGAAGUUUGGUCUGAGAAGCCCUUUGGUAAGAACAUCAACAACCUGUUGACUUGAAGGGAUGUACGGAAUGCAUAUGCUCCCACUGUCAAGUUUUUCUUUGAUAAAAUGUCGAUCAAUCUCAACAUGUUUAGUUCUAUCAUGUUGAACAGGGUUGUUAGCAAUACUAAUAGCGGCUUUAUUAUCACAGAAAAGCUUCAAUGGUGUCUCACAUUCCUGAUGAAGAUCUGUCAAAACUUUCUGAAGCCAAAUUUCCUCACAUAUUCCUAAACUCAUAGCUCUGUAUUCAGCCUCAGCGCUGCUCCUGGCAACAACACUUUGCUUCUUACUCCUCCAAGUUACAAGAUUGCCCCAAACAAAGGUACAAUAACCAGAGGUAGAUUUUCUGUCAACAACAGAUCCUGCCCAAUCCGAGUCAGUGUAUGCCUCAAUGGUCUUUCUGUCUGUUUUUCUAAACAUCAGCCCUUUACCAGGUGUUGAUUUUAAGUAUCUCAAGAUUCUGUUGACAGCUUUCAUGUGUUCCUCAUUAGGGGUCUGCAUAAACUGGCUGACAACACUCACAGCAAAGGAAAUAUCAAGAGUAUGAGAUAAGUAAAUUAAUUUACCCACGAGGCGUUGAUACUGUUCUUUAUCAACUGGAACUUGAUCAUAAGAGUUUCCUAGUUUAUAGUUGAAUUCAAUAGGAGUGUCAGUGGGACGACAUCCUAACAUACAUGUCUCGGUUAACAAAUCAAGGAUGUAUUUUCUUUGAGAUACGGAGAUACCUUCUUUAGAUCUGGCCACCUCCAUUCCAAGGAAAUAUUUCAAAUUUCCCAAAUCCUUGAUUUCGAACUCAUCACCCAUUCUCUGCUUUAGUUGACCGAUUUCUGUCUGAUCAUCUCCAGUCAAAACAAUGUCAUCCACAUAAACUAUUAGAACAACAAUCUUUCCUGUUUUGGAAACCUUUGUAAAUAAAGUAUGAUCAGAGUGUCCCUGCCUAUACCCUUGGGACUUGACAAAGGUAGUGAAUCUGUCAAACCAUGCUCUGGGAGACUGUUUCAGACCAUAUAUAGAUUUCUAGAGUUGACACACAUGCUGACCAAACUGGGCUUCAAAUCCAGGCGGAGGGCUCAUGUAGACUUCCUUUACGAGGUCUCCAUUCAAAAAGGCAUUCUUAACAUCCAGCUGAUAUAGAGGCCAAUCUUUGUUCACAGCAACAGAUAACAGAACUCUAAUAGUAUUCAAUUUAGCAACUGGAGAGAAAGUUUCUGAAUAGUCAAUACCAUAGGUUUAAGUAAAUCCCUUCGCAACUAAGCUUGCCUUGUGUCUGUCGAGAGUACCAUUAGCUUUGUAUUAUAGAGAGAACACCCAUUUGCAUCCCACAGUUUUGUGUCCCUUAGGUAGAGUACAAAAGUCCCAAGUACUAUUCUUUUCAAGAGCUUUCAUCUCUUCCAUGACAGCAUUCUUCCAUUCAGGACACUUUAAAGCAGUGUAGAUAUCUUUUGGUAUUAUGGUAGAGUGAAGGCUUGCUGUAAAAGCUCUGAACUGAGGAGAGAGAUUAUCGUAGGAAACAUAAUUGCAAAUGGGGUGUUUAGUACAAGACCUGGUCCCUUUUCUCAGAGUAAUGGGAAUGUCAAGAGAGGAAUCAUACUCAUCCGAUUUUCCUGUAUGACCAUGUUCCGCUUCAUUAUUACGGGUUUCUAUUCUGACCUCAAUCUCAUCACCACUGUCCUUUUCUUCCACGUUUUUAAGAAUAGCAACAUUAGACCUAUCAUUCUCACUUAUCAUAUUCUUAGUACAGGGUUCAAUAGGGUUUUCCAUACCUUGAUCUCGAGGAGGUUCAGAGUCUUGGACUGGAGCCGGCGACUGACUAGUAGGGGAACCGAUUUCCUUUUUGUGAUUCCUCCUGUAAUAUGUUUUCCAGGGGACUUGGUUUGUGGGUAGGACUAUGGAAUGAGGAUUGAUGUUAGACAUGACACUAGGAGUGGGUUCGAUGAAUUCAAAGGUGUUGUUAGACUCUUCACUCACACUCUCCCCCUGAAGAUGGCUAACGGGAAAGUAGGGUCGAUCCUCAUAGAAAGUAACAUCCAUAGUGACAAAGUAUUUUCUGGAUGGCGGGUGAAAACAUUUAUAACCACGCUGGUGAGGGGGAUACCCAACAAACACACAUGCCUGAGCCCGAGGGGUAAAUUUGGUUUGAUUAGGGCCAAAAUUAUGGACAUAAGCGAUACACCCAAACACACGAAGAGGAACCUCAGAAACAUGAUGAGUCGAUGGGUAGGACUUCUUAAGACAAUAUAAGGGAGUUUGAAGAUGAAGAAUACGAGAAGACAUUCUAUUGAUUAAAUGAGUUGCUGUAAGAAUAGCAUCUCCCCACAAGUAUGAAGGAAGGGAAGUAGAAAGCAUAAGGGAACGGGCUACUUCCAGAAGGUGAUGGUUUUUCGCUCGGCCACUCCAUUUUGUUGAGGAGUGUAGGCGCACGAGUUUUGAUGAACAAUCCCCUUAGAAGCAAGAAAUUCACUAAGGUUAUGGUUUUGGAAUUCCCGACCAUUAUCACUCCGAAGAAUAGCAAUUUUUUGAUGGAAUUGUGUUUCAAUGGUGUGAUAGAAAUUUUGAAACAUAGAGGAAACCUCAGAUUUAUCAGUGAUAAGGUAGACCCAGGUAAGACGGGUAUGAUCAUCAAUGAAGGUUAUGAACCACCGUUUUUCAGAUGAGGUUGUUAUCUUGGAUGGUCCCCAGACAUCACUAUGAACAAGAGUGAAGGGUUGGGUUGGUUUGUAUGGUUGUGAGGGAAAAGAGACUCAAUGUUGUUUGGCCUGAAUACACACAUCACAAGAUAAGGUAGUCAUCUCAACUUUAGAGAAGAGAUGUAGAAAUAAAUGUUUCAUAUAUUGAAAAUUAGGGUGGCCUAAACGAAAAUGCCACAACAUACAAUCUUGUUCAGAAGUAGUGAAAUAGGAAGAUAAGAGACUAGUCCUAGGAAUGCUACUAGAAGAGGUAUUGUCAUCAAGGAGGUACAGUCCCCUACUAUGCCGGGCAGUGCCAAUCAUUCUCCCCGAGCUCAAGUCCUGAAAAGAGACAGAAUCAGGUAAGAAUAUUGCUUUGCAGUUUAACUCAUGAGUGAUCUUGCUUAUCGAAAGCAAAUUAUAAGAUAGUUUGGGCACAUGCAAAACAUUAUGUAAGGAGAGCCCUGCACAAGGAGAAAUCUUCCCCUUUCCAGCAAUGGGGGCCAAGGAGCCAUCUGCAAUUCUAAUUGUCUCGUUCCCGACACAAGGAAUGUAAGAUACAAAAUGUUCAGAGGACCCAGUCAAAUGAUCUGUGGCACCAGAAUCCAGAAUCUAGGGGUUCUUCCCAUCAAUACUAACAAGACCGAAGGAGUGAGGUAUACCCGAUUGGACAGUGGCACCUAAAGUGGCAAGACUGAGAUCAGUUUGGUUUUUGUGUGGAUCGGAUUGUUGAGGAGGUUCAGCAGACUCACUCACAUACGCUCGCCCUGUGUUCUGUUUGUCGUUGGAAGGGUGUUUCUUACCUCCAGGGGACGACCAUGUAACUUCCAACAUUGUUCUUUGGUAUGCCAUUGUUUUUUGCAAUGCUCGCAGACAGGAAUUGGUUUUCCAUUAUGCUUGUCACUGAUACUGUUAUAAGAUCUUGCACUAAAAGCAGCAGAGUCAAUAGUAGGGGUUGCGGAAAUAUUCAUAGCACUUGUGCGAUCUUCCUCAAGGCGGAUUUCAGAGCAAACUUCCAUCAGGGAGGGAAUCGGUCUUUGACCUAGUAUACGCCCUCGAACUAUAUCAAACUUAGGAUUAAGACUAGUAAGAAAGUCAUAAAUCCUGUCAUUCUCUUCAAUUCUUGAGUACUGUACACCAUCAGUGGGAUCACGCUAGACUAGUUCUCUGCAUAGGUCCAUUUCUUGCCAUAUAAGAGAGUUUAUUGAAAAAGGAUGUGACAUCCAUGGUUCCUUACUUGCAUUCAUGAACUUGCUUUCUCAGCGUGUAUAGACGAGAGGCAUUCUGACGUUUUGAGUAAAGUGUAUGGGCUGUGUCCCAAAUAUCCUUGGCUGUUGCAGCAAACAAUAACGGCUUGCCAAUUUGAGGUUCCAUACUAUUGAUCAAUAUGGAUCGAAGAAUAGAGUCUUCUGCCUUCCAAUAUCGUUCAUGUGGGUCGCCUGGUAGGGGGCGAGGUAUUUCCCCUGUCAAAAAGAUAAAUUUUUGUCGUCCUUCGAGGACCAUCUUUAUUGACUGAGACCAUGAGAAAUAGUUGUUGCCAUUCAACUUUUCUCCUGAAAGAUGAUACAUGGAAGACUGAGCCACCGUGUUAGUCACAUAAGGAGAGGAUACAUUAGGGAACGAGUUUACCGAAUUCUCAGAAUACAGCGGUAGAGUGGAUGUCGUCCCUAAGGUAGCCUCAAGUGCUGUUAUCUGUUGUCGAAGCCCUUCCAAUGUUGGGGGAUGAACUAUUCCCGAGGAAGCUUGCACGUUACGGUUGGAAUAUGCCGAAGAUUCACCAACCUCAAAUGUUGAGUGAAUUUGAGAGUUUUUAACAUCAGGAUGGUAGCUAGGAUCAUUGGGUGGCUGGCCAUACAGAUUUGACGGCAGAAGCGGUGGAAGCCGAUUGUAAUUAGAUGGCAGAACAUAAAUCGGGGCGUGGGAAGCAAUAUAGGUCGCGGACGAAGAAAAGGGUUGGAUAGAUGGAUGGUCGGCGCGUCUGAGGGAGAAAACCAGGCGCGUGUGGUCCGGUGGCAGCGCGGACGACUGCGGUAAUGACGAAAAAUUAUUUUCGGACGUUUUCUGUAGCCGGCUUAAUAAUUCGUCCAUGGCAGCACUCAUCCGAGCAUCGACGGCAGCAGCUACGGCAGCACUAAAAUUGAUGGCUGUCCCUUCUGUUUGAUUUUCAUCAGUGGUUUGGUUUUUUUGGGUUUCUAGGGUGUUUUCAUUGUCCCGCUCUAAUACCAUAUUGAAAAGAGAGACAACGAGUUCACACCAGUUUACGUGGAAACCCGAGUACGGGAGAAAAACCACGAUUGUUUGUUGUUAUUAUUUUCUAAUGAAUAAAACAAUAGGUACAAGGAGAAUAAAUAGAGUACACAAUGGAAUAAAAAAGGAAAAGAUUUAGGAAAAUAAGGAAUACAUUCCCAUAAUCUUUCCAUAAUUAUUCUAGGAUUCUAACAAGGAAAAAGCCUAGAAAAAAGGAAAGAAUUCCAACAGAAAAUGAUAAACGACAUGUCAGGAUUUUCGAGUUGCCCUCGAUGACGUUAGAAAUCGUUGAUGUAAGCACGAGGUGAACCUUACAAUGCGAGCGAUGGCAAACCAAGCUCAAGUUGGAGGAGUAAUCCCGAUGAGCAGAAUAAAGAUUCCUGAACCCUUCAUCUUUGAUUUUGAGCAAUACUUCAAGGUCACAAGCACAACCACAAAAGAAGCCAAAAUGGCAUUGGCGACUAUGCAGUCUUAGGAUGCCAAGUUAUGGUAGAGAUCCCAAUAUAUCGACAUUCAAGAAGAGUGUUACACAAUAGACACCUGGCACACUUUAAAGAAAGAACUCGGCUCACAGUUCUUUCCCAAGACUGUCGAAAUCUUAGCUUGGCGGAAAUUGGAUGAACUAAAACACAACGACAACAUUCGAGAGUAUGUGAAGCAAUUUGUUUGUUCUGUUUGGGAGUCUUUCCCUUUCCCUUCUUUUUAAUUUGAGCAUUAGGUUUUGAGGUCCAACUUUGGUUUUAGAGGAUGAUCCUCUUGUAAAUUUUCUUUUUGUGGUAGCAACAUUUGCUUCUACUUGUUUCCCUUUACCCAUAGUAAGGUUUUGGAAUCGCUGGAGUUCAUUCAGAAGGGUUGUCAGGUUAAAUUCUAUCUUGUUCAAAGACGCAUUCGUUUGGAAUGGAAUGAAGCUCUUCGGAAGAGACUCUAAGAUAAAGCUAACUUGAUUAACCUCUUCGAUGGACCACCAUUCACUUCAGCGAUGUUGAAGUGCAUCAUCAUGUCCAGAACAUGUUCUCUAACAGAGGUCCCUUCCUUCAUACGCUUAGUGUAAAUGUAUUUGACUGCCUCGUGUCUUAAGGACCAUUCUGGUUGCCCAAACAUUCCCCCUAAUGAAUCCAUAAUCUCUUUAGCCGUGGCUAAGGAUUCAUGUUUCUUUGCCAAUACAUCAGACAUGCUGGCAAGAAUGUAGACAUGGAAGGCGCCAGAAGGCGCAGUGAGCCACACAAAAGGGACCGAAACGAAUGUUCGAAAAUAUCAGAAGGAUCGAAGAAAGAUGGAAGGAAAGACGAGGAAAACAACAUACCAGAGCAAGUUCAAGACGGUAGAGAUGUCGGUCUUCAAUGGAAUAGACCUUGAUUCAUGGUUAUUUCGCGUUGAUCGUUAUUUCAAGAUACACGAGUUAACUGACUCAGAGAAGUUAAUGGUAGCGGUAAUCAGUUAUUAGGACCAGCUCUCGAUUGGUAUAGAUCAAAUGAUGAGUUGGGACGGUUCAAGAGUUGGGAUAUUUGAAGCAAAGGUUGUUGUCCGAUUUCAGACGAUUUGGGAUGGAACACUCCUAGGCCGAUUCUUAACGAUUAAGCAGGAAACGACAGUAGGGGAAUAUAGAAACCACUUUGAUAAAUAUUUAGCUCCGGUAGCCUUCCUCCAGACCAUAGUGUUAGAAGAAACCUUUAUGAAUGGGCUAAGCCCAUGGCAUAAAUCCGAAGUUAAAAUGUUGGAGCCCAUAGGUUUGGCCGAGAUGAUGAAACUAGCCCUGAAAAUUGAAAAUAGAGAGAUGGUUCAUCGAGAAUGUGGGCUUAUUAGUGUUUCUAGAAUGAAUAAACAAUUCAAACAUAAUAACGUGACGCAAACCUCGACAGUAACACCCAAUCAGAAACCCACGGAAAGGAGCUGGCCGAUGAGAACGAUUACGUUAAAAAAAGUGACGGCAGAUGAAAAGAGGAGGGAAGGUCCGACCAAGCGUCUUUCCAACGCUGAAUUUCAAGCACUGAGGGAAAAGGGUCUAUGCUUUCAGUGUGAGGAGAAGUAUCACGCUGGACACAGGUGUACGGUGAAGGAACAAAAGGAAUUACGGAUAUUAGUAGUAAAGGAAACGAGAGAAAACUGGAAAUCAUUGAGGAGGAAUACUUUGAUGUGGAAACGGAGGCCCAGACCAUUGAAAUUGAAAGAGUGGAGAAUAUGAUAUAGAACUUCCAUUAACUCAGUUGUGGGGUUAUCCAACCCUGGAACCAUGAAAGUGAAAGGGAAGAUAAAAGAGACCAAAGUGGUAAUACUCAUCGACAGCGGAGCCACCGACAAUUUUAUUGCAGAAAAUUUGUAACCACCCUUAGCCUACCAAUGACAGAAACGUCCAACUAUGAGAGUGAUUUUGGGAUCAAGGGUUGCGGUCAAAGGAAAAGGAAUCUGCAAUAAUGUUGAAGUGACGGUAGGAGAGUGGAAAAUUACAAACAGCUUUUUUCCCUUGGAAUUAGGAGGGUUGAUGUAAUUUUGGGUAUGCAUGGUUGCACUCAUUGGGCAUGACUGAAUUUGAUUGAAAAAUUUGGUGAUGACAUUCCGACAUGGAGGAAGGAAGAUAGAGAUAAAGGGGGACCCUAGUGUCACCAAAACCCAAGUGAGCCUAAAGUCUAUAAUUAAGACAUGGGGAGCUGAUAAUCACGGUUAUUUGGUAGAAUGUCGGGCCAUGGAGGGAAGGCUAGCUGAGGAAGGCUUAGAGGAUGAAGAAGUGCCAGCCACUGUUGACAACAUGAUCUCUCCUCUGUUGAGCAAAUUUAAUGAUGUUUUUGAUUGGUUGGAAGAGCUGCCUUCGAAGAGGAACAUUGAGCACCAUAUACCCCUUCAGAAGGGGGUGGAUCCAGUUAAUGUCAGACCUUAUCGUUACGCACAUCGGCAAAAGGAGGAAAUUGAAAGACUAGUUGAUGAAAUGUUGAAGACAGGCAUCAUAUGACCGGGUACCAGUCUGUAUUCCAGCCCAGUCCUUCUCGUGAAAAAGAAAGAGCUGGCAAUUUUGUGUAGAUUAUCGGGAGUUGAACAAUGUCACUAUCCCAGAUAAGUUCCCAAUUCCGGUCAUAGAUGAGUUAUUCAAUGAGCUGAAUGGGGCCAACAUGUUUUCGAAGAUUUAUUUAAAGGCGGGUUAUCACCAAAUCAGGAUGCAUCUGAGAGGUGUAGAGAAGACGGCCUUUCGAACACAUGAGGGACACUAUGAGUUCUUGGUCAUGCCGUUUGGGCUAACCAAUGCCCCUCUACGUUCCAAGCAUUAAUGAACCACUUCUUUAAGCCUUAUAUGAGAAGAUUGGUAUUAGUGUUUUUCGAUGACAUUUUGGUGUACAGUAGGGGAGUAGAAGAACAUGGACAACAUCUGGAAGUAGUCUUGGAGAUCCUUCGGAGAAUGAAUUGUAUGUGAAUUUAGCCAAAUGUUGCUUUGCCAAAAGUAGAAUAGGUUAUUUGCGGCAUUUCAUAUCCAAAAAGGUAACUAAAGUUGAUCCGGAAAAAAUAAGGGCAAUUAGGGAAUGGCCGAUUCCCAUUAGUGUGUGAGAAGUUCGAGGUUUCUUAGGACUCAAUUGAUACUAUAGGAAGUUUGUGCAAAAUUAUGGCAGUAUCGAAAGCCCUUUGACACAACUUUUGAAGAUAGGAACUUAUUAUUGGACUGAAGAAGCAAGUGCUGCCUUUGAGAAGUUGAAGAUGGCAAUGAUGACUCUACCGGUGUUAGCUAUGCUGGACUUUAAUCUACCACUCGAGAUAGAAACAUAUGCAUCUGGUUCUGGUGUGGGGGCCAUUUUAGUACAAGCCAAGAGACAAAUAGCCUUCUUUAGCAAAACCUUAUGCAUGAGGGAUAGAGCGCGACCGGUUUAUGAAAGAUAAUUGAUAGUAGUAGUGUUUGCGGUGCAAAGGUGGAGACCAUAUUUGUUAGGGAAGAAAUUUACAGUGAAAACUGAUCAGAAGUCGCUCAAAUUCUACUGGAACAAAUGGUGAUUCAACCCUAAUACCAGAAAUUAGAGGUUAGUUGAUUGAGAAAAGUGCAUGUGGGGAAGUCUUGACGCGAGGAAGGCUAGGCGUUGAAAGGUUAUGCGAGAAGACCAAGGAGGUUAGCUAUGCGUUUGGAUAGUAAAUGACAUGCUCUAAGCAAUUAAUUAAAAGUAAAUCUAGGUGUCUUAACCAUGUCAUCCUGCAUUUUGCAGCCAAGGAGGAUGUGAAGGAGUUGCUAAGGUGUAAACAAAAGCUUAAGAUGUGAGUCUAAUCAAGAUUAAGUGUCAACUUAAUUUCAUGCAAGGAACUCUAUAAAUAGGUCAACUUCAAGAAUGAAUUUCUCACAACUUACUUGUUCAAAAUUACUCAAAUUAGUCUUAAAAUUCCAGAAAUUGAAUUUAGUUUAUGAUAGAGGGUUGCUAUUAAAUUUGGAUUCAAGAAGAUUUGCGAUUGGAUCAAGAUAAGGUGAGAAGGUCAUUUUCUAGGAGAAUCUAAGCAAGUUGCAAUUUUAGAGGGCUAUGGAACUCAUUUCUUGGGAUUUUCCUUCAAAACUUUGAGGUAUGAAAAUUAAGUCAAUUUGGAGUAACUUUGUAGAAUGAAGUUUUAUAAAAAAAAAUUAUGAAUUUUAAGUUAUAAUUUUUCAAAGUUAUGUCAUUAUUCUUGAAGUAAAACAGUGUUCUGGAUAGUGUCUGAGAGGCUUGCAUGUGUAGGUGAGAUAGGCAUGUGUUUUGGUUUAGAAGUUAUUGUGGUCCAAUUGCACACACAUGAAAAGGCCAUGGCACAGUCGAGUGGCAAGGCAUGUGCUCAGGCUACACGCAUGACCCUUUUUUAGAGGUUAGCGUGGUAUGCACGGGGUGCGGAGAGCACCAAUGCUUGCAAAGCACAAGAUGGACGCACGAGAUAGGCGAAUAGCACAUGUGUGGCAACCCCAUUGCAAGGUUAGCACACGAUAUACACCCCAUCUUAGUAAGGUCAGCACACGACAGGUCCCGGGCCAUGCACGUGUGGCUAGAUCCAUUCACCAUGUCAGUGGAUACCGUUGGGUUAUUUUCGAACUAUUUUGGGUUACUUUGAUAUUUUUGGGAAUUUUAAAGGAACUUUUGGAUAUUCUCAUGUUUAAUAAAUUAAUUAAAGAUAAAAUAUGAAGUUUUCAGAACAAGGAGGAUUAGGAUAAAUUUUUGGCCAAUGAUCUGUACAAGUAUUGUGAGUAACACAUUGAUUUUCAAGGUGAUUUAUUGAACAUGUUUUCAAGCUUUACACAAAAUAACUUGUGAAAUGAUUUAGUAAACAUGUUUUUAAGUUAUUACUUCAAGAUAAAUGUUUAUGAACAUAUGCUCAAGUUCAAGUGAAUGCUUUCAUGUUUUCAAAUGCUUUUAUCCAUGCCCGAAUAUUUCAUGAGACAUAUUGUAUACAAGUGGUUAACUCCAUACUGAUGAUAGGGUUGAGAAGCCUAUAGUUUAUGGGUCAUUAGAAAUAGUGUAUUGUUAUGCCUUAAAGGAGGAGAGUUAUUUACCCAUUGACUGUUCCGUCUUCGAAUGAAGGGGUAAAUACUACCAGUGGCUAUGGACAAUUGUCUUCGAAAAGCUAUGCAAAUAUUUCAAGUUUCAUGUUAUGGUUGUUUAUUAAUAAAUGUAUUAAAGUUUCGGUUUUAUACUAAAAUGUUUAUGAAAAUAUGUUUUAUAAAACUGUUGCUCACUAAGUUUUUCGACUUACCCUUUCAAAAUGUUUUUCCUCUUUCUAGAUAUAGGUUAUGGAUCUCGAUAUGCUAAACUUAUUGCUGCCAGGCCAACUUAGUUUUUGUUAUGCAAGGACAUUGUUUUCAUUUAAAGAAGUAUUGUGAUUAUUCAAAUAUUUAUAUCUUUAUGUUUUGUUCAUUUUUUAUGAUACGUUUAAAAGAUUUCUUAUGGGUUGCAUUACAAAUUUCGAAGUAUGAUUCAACUGUUUAUUUUAAUGAAAAACUUUUGUUGUUUAAAAAGUUUUGCAAGUGUUCAUGUCAUGUGUCAGUUGAGGUUGUUUCGAACAACUUCGACUGACAUCACGCCUCGUCUUGAUCGACCUAACAGGUGCCCAAGACGGGGUGUGGGAGUAGAUUAUAUCAUCAAUAAUUGUUUAGUUGAAACAAGAUGUGUUAUUUUUCAACUUUGGAUCACAUGCCUAAGAGUUGAUAAUUUCUUUGAGUGGUUAGAACAAUGUAGUUGUUGUAAUAUGUUUGAUGCACGAGAUUUUAAUCUCCAACCUUAAGGAGUUAUUUGGGGGAGAGAAAGGAAAGGAAAAUAAAUGACCAUUUUAGUCAUUUCCACGUUUGGGGGAAGGAAUAAGUUUAAUCCUCUUGUUCCUUCUUAAUCAUUCUCCUUCCUCUCAAUCCCUAUCUUUCUUCCUUCCAAUCCUUCUUUUCCUCCGAUAAAUUAUUUUUCAAUUACAUCAAACUAUUCUCAUUUUCAAAAUUAUAAAUAUCUUUUCCUUAAUAAUUAUAUUUUCAUUUUUCCACAACAAAUAUAUGUAUAUCCACGUAUACAUGUAAUUAUCAAAUUUCUAACAAAAUUUCACUCUUCAAUUUAAUUAAAUAAAGACAAAAAAAUAUUUAAUUAUAUUUAAAUUCAGUGACACUAAAAAUCCAAAUCCAAUAAUUAAUGAAGUAUUCAACUCACAAAUAUUUAAUUAAUUUUAAUUUCACAAAACCAUAAAUUCUAAAUUAAAUAUCACGUGAUUGUCUGUAUGCUUGAACCACAUGACCUGUUUUUGUUUUAUUUCUUUUUUUAAAAAAAUAUAUUUUAUUUUGCAUUAUUCUGAUGUACGAUGUAAUUGACAUUCACUGUUUAACUGUAUUUCGAUUUUUUUUCUUUCGUAUUUCACAUCGUUUCAAUGCUAUUAUGUUCGUCGUCAUUUGUUUAAAUUGAUUGUCAAUGAUACCCAAUUUCUCGUUAUUGCACUUGCAACAUUAAUUUUUUUAAAAAUUAGAUAUAAUUUCUUUCGCACGUAACACAACAAUUAAUUUAUUGGCACAGAAAACUUGCAUACAAAAUGUUCAAAAUUGACAUCAUAUUUACGAAAAUUAAUGGAACAUGUUUUUUGAUAAAAAUUCUAAAUUUUGGUAAAUUAAAAAUACGAAUAUUUGUGUAUUAGAUUUGCAAUACGAAGUAAAAAAAAAUACAACAAUACAAAUUUAAAAUAAUAAUUUUUUUUUUUUGUCAUAACCCUUCUCACUUUUUCCUUCACAAACAAAGAUUAUCAUAAUCCUCUCACUUAUUAUUUCCUCAAACUGUUGGGGUUUAUGUUCUAAAACUGGUAGAUUGUAAAUAUAAUUCAUUGACCGUUAUUAAUAAAGUGUUGUUGAUUAUAUUAUUAGUUUUGUCUUAAUAACCAAAUCCAAUAAACUAACACUCUAAGUUAUUUGAUAAGUCUUGAAUAGUAUGUAAAGACAUACAAUGAUCGAUAUUCGAGAUCAACUUAAAGGGUCUAUAGUAUAGAGAUAAGGUUGGGUACCUUAUCCUAGUAACACUAUGAAUAACACUUUAAAUUUGAUACAAACACAAUGAUCCAAAGCGUUCGUGUAGGUGACAUUCAAGUGAGGGUAUCCUAUGCAAUGAGUUUGCAUAAGACCGAACGAAAUAAUAACCACUAAAUGUAACUUCGUUAACUAGUUAGGUUUAUAUUUCAUUAGGAUGACCUAUGUAACUUAUUCUUAAUUUAAGUGUAUUAUGAACUCAUAUUCGCGAGAGAUUGCCCUUUGAUAUGUACGGGUGAGAGUGGCCAGUUUUCGACUCAAUAUGCUUAUCAUUUUGGGAACAAUACCAAGUAGAGAGCUGAAAACAUAAUCAUACAAGAUGAAAUUUACUCCUUCCCGACUUUUGGGUAAGUAGAUGGGUGUUUCCUUAAAUGGUAUCUUCGAGACUUGAACAAAGAGCCCUAUCCUCUCUAUGGCGCGAGAGGGAUUUUUGUUUAUUGGUUGGACCAUAAACAUGUUGUUCAUUAGAAGAACACUAGUAUUUAAGGAUUGGAGGUAAUCUAGGGGUAAAAUAGUAAUUUGAUCAAGCUGGUGUUACGAACACUCGUGAAGGACUAACUUACUAUUAUUCUAUAUACGUGGACACAUAAUAUAUCUAUUAUGAGAAGAGUUUAACUGUGAGUCUUUAGUGGAGUGUACACACAAUUAACGAAUAUUGAUUAAUGUGGUGAAUGAGUUUAGUCAAUUAAUCUCAUAUCGUUGUAGAUUCUGAUUUAUAGAUUCAUUAGGUCUCCUAGCUCAUAAAGGAUAAUGAGAUUUAUUUAUAUUGGUUGUAAUUUGAAAUGUUCAAAUUUACUUUAAGAAUUAUCAUAAUGUAUAGUGAUACAUUAUAAUGUAAAGUUUAUAUUUUAAUCAAACUUUAUUAUAUAAAUUUAAUUUUGGAUAUGAUUCAAAAUUAAUUUACGAGAGAUAAAAUAUUUCAACAUUCAAAUAAAUUUAAUGUGAAUUAGAUUCAUAUUAAAAUUAAUGGUUAUGAGAAAUAUUUAUAUUUGAAUAUGAUUCAAAUAUUAAGUUAAAUAUAAGAUAUUUGAUUUUGCUAUUAAUUAAUUGAAGAGAAUUAAUUAAUAGUUUAGUUUAACUUUAUUUAAUUAAAUUAAUUUAAAACUAUAGGAUAUUGGAGAGAUGUUAAUUAAAUAUAAUUUAAAUGAAAUAUUAACUACAUAUGAUUUAAUUAAUUAUUAACUGAUUAAUUAAUUAAUUAGUUGAUUUGAAAUUUCUAUUAAUUUAAUAUUUUUUAAAUUAAUAAAAUCUCAUUAUUCUCUUCUACUCUCAAGAAAAGAAAAGAGAGUUAUAAAUAUGCAGAAGAAAAAUAAUUUUUCUAAAUUAAAAAAAAAAGUCAAUGCUUUUGCUCUUUGGAAAAAUAGUUUUCUCUUAAAACUUUUUCCAUCUCAAUCUCACACACCGAUCUCAUAUAUCUUAGAGCAUAGGAAGUUAUUCGAUGAGUGGUGUCCCCAAAUUUGGAGAUUUAGUAUAUUUAGGGACGUCAAACUACGCAAGUUUUUCUCUUUCUAAUCUAUACUUUAUUAAUGCUUAAUAAGAAAAUUAAUUUUUUAAUUAUUUUUUGCCAAUGUAUUGGUAUUUUGGAAUUCCCAAAUUAAAUUGAGGAAUGAUUCUGUAAAAUCUUCCACUGCCUAGGGCUUUUAUCCAUUGACAAACAAGGAUUAUCAUAAUCCUUUCCUUUUCAUAAUCCUCAUUUUUUCAUAAUCAUUUUCCCUUUUGUCACACCCUAAUCCGCAAAACUACCAAAACGCAGAAAGUAGUGCAGAUAGUACGUGAUUUAGCUUAAAACCUUGAAACUGAUCUUAUCUCCUAAUUCAAACUCAACUCCUUUAUAAACUACCAUGCGGCAGAGAUAAACAUAACGCACAUCGGAAGUUAACUUAAACUUUUAUUCAACAACAAGUGUUUUGACGUGAUUAAACGUUAAGACACUUAUCUUAAAUCCUUUACCUUGUUUAAACGCCAAAUAUUUUAAAUAACAUUCUUUAGGCAUUAAAGCUUAACGUAGUCAUCAUUAAUAAAUAAACUUAAACUUAAUUAACAACAGGCGUUUCUUACAUAGUAUACAAUUACAACACUUUGACCAAAAAAUGACAUUAAUCAAAUGCUUAAAUGCCUGGUAGCUUUCUCAAGUCGCUACAAGUCCUUCAACCUUCUUCUCUACUUGGCCUAAACGUCUGAUCUUGGAAGAUGGAAUUUUAAAACGUAAGUCUAAAAGAAUUAGUGAGGUUUUAUGAAAUCCUUUUCGCAAUACCUUUCCAUAAAUCAUUUUCACCAUAUCAUAUAGUUUAACACAAAUCACUUUAUUAAUAAACACAUCAUUUCGCAAAACAUUACAAUAAAAUCAGACCAACUUGCAAAUCACAUCAAUAUACAUUUUGCAUAAACACUAAUUAGUCACAAUCAUUCCUUUGGUCAAGGAUCCCAAAUCAUUAUCUACGUUUGGUCUCGUUACCUUGCGUUUAGACUACUAUAUCAACAACAUCCGAGAACUUACAGAUUUGUCAUUGUUGCUCAGGCUAUCUAACACAAUGUAGUCCUUUUGUACAUUGGUCGACUUUACUCCUCCAUGCAUGCCUUUUCUACAAGGUUGCCUAUAACCUUGUGUGUAUAUAAUAGUUAGCUCAUUCAAAGGAAACAACUAAUGAUUUGAAAACCAUUUUAUAAUCAAUAUCAUAGUCAUCAAAUCAAGCUUUAAAUAUUAUGAAACAUGUUUGAAAUGAUAUAAAUACUUUUAAGAGAAGAUCAUUCACUAUACUUAGCCUUAGAAUUGGAAAUCUCCUAUUCUUCUUCUUUCUCGCGGAAACAAAAUGACAGCACUUCACACUUCAAAAUUUCCAAAAAAUCUCCGAUACUUAGUGACCAAAAUCCUUUAUUUAUACUACUCUUUAACCUGGAUUAGUUAUCCUCAAAUCCUCGUCCAAUUUCCAACUCCUACUUAAAACUUUACAUGUGUAAAAUUAUAUUUAUCUUAUCCAUGCUUAAAUCCUUAAUCUUACAUGUUAACCUCGGUCAAAUCAGAUUUGAAAUCUUCUCACCGAACCUUUCUUCUCACUUAAUUUCAUUUCGAAUAACUUUAACAGCUCAACAUAACUUUCAAAGGUCUUAAUCCAAUAACUCCUUUUGUGACUAUCCAACAUUUUCUCGCGAAUAUUUUUUCUCUUGUGAAUGUUUACAGAAAGACCGUACGGGGUUGGUUUAUGGAAAUUUUGAAGGUGAAGAAACCCUAUCUUGCGAGAUACCCAUCUUGCCGAUCCACCACCAUUCUCUUCUUCUAGUUCUAAUGGCGCUGGAAUCAGGGGCAACAGACCCCUCGAAAACCCAAGUCCUCCUAAGAAAAUGCUCCAACGUCAUAUCCCAACUCCCUUCAUGGUUCCCGAUUUUGAACCCUCGUCGGCUAAGUUGAAGAGCCCGCUUCCACCUAAGCCUCCCUCUUCUAACCCGCUUAAGAGGAAGCUCAAUAUGGAGACCUUUCUUGAGAAUUCCAUCCUUGGGUUGUCAUAUUCUGGUGCGAAGGUACUUACAUGGUGUGAUUGUGGGGGGUUUGAUUUAUUUUUGUCUUAAUUAUGGUGUUUGGAACUGUUUUACCUCACAGUUGCUGUUUCUCCAUUCUGCAUAGCAUUUGCUGUUGUUUGGUCAAGACGUACUUGUAAGAAAAUGGUGUGAGCCAGAAUCUAUUUUCAAUUACAUGAAAAUUUUGAAGUUUAGAAUAUUACUGCUUAAUGUAAGAAGCUAACUUCUUGUUUUAAUGUUUUGUAAACAAGGGAAUUGCAUUGAUAAUUACAGUUCGUCCAAUAGUUCACAUACCGAAUCUUAAGUUAGAAUUUUUAAAUCUUGGUUCUAUGUUUAUGUAUCUGAAACAUGCUGAUCUUAAUUGGUUAAUUUGUAUUAAAAGUCAAAUUGACGUCUCAAAGUUAAUUGGCCUAUGUUUUGUCUUUUGCCCAAAAAAUCAUGAUCUCUACUCACUGAUGUGAUAUAUAAUCCCUUUUCUAUAGCUUGAUAUUAGAAGUUAAAUUACAAAAGUUAAACUAUGAACAUUAUAUCUAUCUAUAUGUAGGUUGAACUAUCACCAAAGUUGGUCACAAUGGGAUAGAUAACUAAAAUGUUUUUAGUUUUGAGACUAAAUACUCACGUUGCUUUAAAUUUAGAGAUGAAAAGCCAUUGUAACUCAUGAAAACAUAAAAUAUAAGCAUUCUCUUAAAUUUCUUAAAGAUAAGUUUCUUUUUCCAAACAUUUUGUGACGAUUUUUUCAAACGUUAUCAGCCCAUCUUCAUACUUCAAAUUGUUAUAAAAAACCUCUUCCUAUAUAACUAAUACUUUGGAGAACCUUACAGGUAUGACUAGUUGACAAAUAAGAGCCUUCAGAUUGGUUACUUCUUAUCAGCAAUGCUUGCUUAUGGAACAGGUAAUGAAGGAAGUAAUGUGUUUCCUUGUGAUGUUCAUAUAUAGUAAAGAUCAAGUAAUGCGUUUACUCAUGCAAUCUUUUCAUCAAUGAUGAUUUAAGUGAAGAAAAAUAACACUCUACAUUUAAUGUUAUUAUAUUGUAGUGUUGAUAGCACACACACAUAUAUAUUCUGUAAUGAUAUAUAUUAGGAAUGUGAUCAAGGAAGCCAGCUUGUCUAGAGAAAGCAAGAGUUGGUGUUGAAGGUUAGAUACUUUCUUUAAAAUUAGUUUUAUAGUUAUUGCGAGUUUUUUUAGGAUUACUCUGUGGCUAAAUCUUCAUUAACUUACUAUGCUGCCAAUGAGAGAUAUUGGAAGUUAGUUCUCUUUCCCAUGUUGCCUUGUUUUUAUUCUAAAUUUCUAAUAGGACUAUGAGAGUUAUUCAUAUUUUACUAUCUGUUUUUGUAGCAACACCCAUUCAUGAUGGCAUGAGUACACCUAUGCACCCAUGAGUCCGUCAAGGUAAAUUUCACGUGUUCUAGUGCACUUGAGAUAUUAAUUGAGAUAAUGUGGAUAACAUUGUAGAAUGUAUGUGCUGUAGAAAUUCCAUAAAUUAUUGUUAUUUAAAUAUUUUCAUUUACUUUUAUGAUAUUGUCUUACAGUUAAACCGAGGAACAUUUAAAUUCAAAGAUGACAAUUGACAACUUUGAAUAACUUUAUGAUAAGCUUGAAAAUAUUAAUGCUAUAGCAGAUAGCUAAUGAAUAUUUAUAGUUUUUAGUUUAUUUUUUGCCAGUCUGGCAUUGAAAAUUAAGAAAUAAUUCUUGAAUGUAUAUUUGUUGCUUUGUUCUUUCUCCAUAAUUCUUCUCUUAGUCAAUUCCUUUUGGAAAAUACUUUUAUGUUGAUUCUUUGUAUUCUGAAGAUGGCAACACCUUAUUGAUGAAAAACAUGACUAUAUGAAAAUGGAAAAUAGAAUUUUAAGUACAUUAAUUAUUGAAAUAGUGGGAUUGAGAUGGAUGGAAUGCACAUUUUUAACGCUCCUUAAGUUGCAUGGUUGAAUUUUGGACUAGGGAAGCUAGUAUAAAGAACAGUCAAACAAGAUGUGGUUUGUCAUUUUUCAGAAGGCAGGCUGUCAUAUUUGGUACAUAUUAAUGGUUUGUUUAGAUAUUGUUUGUAGAGUGAUUGAAGUCAUAUCAAGUUGGAAGCUAAGAGAUUGGGUGAAAGCUAAGCAAUCGUUGAAGGUUGAAGGUUGAAGACUGUGAAGUUCAAAGUUCAGUUAACAGCUCCUACAAUGCGAUCAAAUCCACCUACUCAAACCCACCUUCUGUUUCUAAAGCAGAAGAGAAUUGUGUUAGACUCACCUUCUAUUCCUAAAGUAGAAGAGCUUUCAAUGACUUAACCAAGUGAGCGAUUAAGUUUUUUAUCAUCCAUAUUGUUUCCUAUCCGUACUUCUAUCUAGAGAAAGAAAGCUACAUAGAAAAAGUAGACUACCAAAUGGGAAAAAAAAGAUUAGUAAGCAGUGUUAUUUUUGAAAAUAGUAAACAAAAAUUAACAUGAUUAUCAAACCAAGCCAUUCGAGAACAUGAAAUAGAAUUGGAUAGCUGUCGUGCAUUAUGUCUACAAAUGUUAUGAUAGUUACUAUGAUAUGGGGUUUAUGAAAGAGAAUUUCCUAUGUAUUUUAACAACAGAUGAUUCUUCAUCAUCAAGCAAAGUUUAUAGCUUUAAAGAGUACCUAAAGGUUACAAAAUAUCAGCCGAUAGCUCAUGAUAAGCUCCAAACGAAUUUUCCAGCACAAAGCCAGAGUGUAUCCCCAGUGCAACGUGAAGGUUGUUAAAAUCAAAUCUCUUAGGUCGUAUUCAAUAACUAUUUAGUUUUGGUUGUUUGUUUUCAUAGUUUUUUUUUUUUUUGUUGUAGGUAAAGUUUGAUCUUUUGAAAAGUUCUUUAGAGAAGCAUGUCAAUACCUCCAUCCUAUGCGAUUAUAAUCUUAGGGAAGACUUUUUGUUCCCUUUCCUUCUGUCAAUGCAUUUUUUCUUCUCUUUACAUAAAGGAAAAUUUAUUCUUUUAGUUUGAGAGCAAAUAUAUAUUAUCUUGAAUUUUAAGCAUUUCAGCAUCGUACGUUUUAUCAAAUAACAUAUGAUUGGAUGAAUUGACUACAUUCUUUGUGAUUAGUAUCAUUGAUUUUUUUGUUAUAUCAUUUUGUUCACAAUGGUUGAUGGUUGUAGUUUUCGUUAGUUGUUUUCAAAAUGAGUUUAUAUAAUUUUUUUUUCUUUGAAUCCUUGCCAUUGUUGAGUAGUAACUUGGCAUUUGUUUAUUAAAAGGUUUUAAUUAAGAUUAUGGUGUUCAUAACUUUGUAGUCACACUAAAUAACUUAAAAGAGUUAGUUUUUGAUAGUGACAAACAUGAUAGUAAUGUGAUACUGAGUGUGAGGGUAAAAAGAGCUGCUUCUGUUGUGAUAAGAGACGACCCCGUGGAGCGAGUGCUCUCAGCACAAAUCCUUAAAACGAUUGUAUGAAACUAAUCCAAUUGGGUUCAAGUGAUGUUUGUGUUUUUGGGUAUGGUGUGUUUUGUUUUCAAGUUCGUUAGUAGACGUAUUACUUAAUUGAACAUUUUGAUACCAUAGCCAGUGUAGAGACGAUGAAUGAAGGGUGCUAUAAGACUAGUUAAGACUUAUAUGUGCCUUAUUUCAGUAAUAAAUAAAAUUAAGAGAAUUUUCUUUGAUUUUUAGGAACAAAGAUGAAUAAGCAAUGAAAAAGGAAUGAAGAGGUUUAUCCAUGCAAGCUUCAAACCAAGUCAAGAUGUCAAUCCUUCGAGGGGAGUCCACUGUUCCCCCUUAUUUUUCUCCCUUUACUUUGAUUUCAAAAGCUUUGAGGACAAAGCAAGUUUUUAAGUGGAGUGGGUAAUAGCUUGCUUAGCUUGAAUGUUUAGUCUAAACUUGGGGGAUUUCAAAUUUUGCCCAAAUUAAGAAAAAAUUCAAAAAAAAUUUCCUUACAAUAAUGAGCAAUAUAGCUUCUUAGCUUACUUAGAUCUUGCAUAAAAAAUAUGACUAUCAACCCUUGAACACUGAGUGUAGCUGCAUCAUUCUUAACGCAUGAGAUCACGUCAACUCACUUCGAGAUAUAGUCAACAACCAAUAAUAUGUACACAUGAGUUCCAGACUAUGGAAAGGGGCCCAUGCAGUCUAUCCCCACAUAUGAAGGGUUUAACUCUAAGAUAGGUUGUUAGAGUAGUUCAUCGCGAUGGGUUAAAUUCCCUAUCCUCUGACACCUGCCACAUUUUAUCACAAAGUCCUUCACAUCAUGAAAGAGAGUUGGCCAGAAAUAGCCACUCUGUAAUACUUUUGCAGCAGUCUUUGGCCACCACAAUGUCCAUCAUAAGGUGCUUCGUGGCAUUUGGCUAGUAUGUCAGUUGUUUCGUACUCAGGCACACACUGCCUUAUUAUGGGAGUUGACUUAGUUUGUACAGAAAAGGCUCAUCCUACCUAUAAAAGCGACAUUCAUGAAAUAACUUCUUCGUUGCUUGACUGUUGAAAUCUUGCAGCCAUUCCUUACAAACAAGAUAAUUUAUUGUCGACGUACCAUGCUUCUUUUAUUUCAACGUGGAAAAGCUGCUCAUUUGGGAAUCUUUCAAAUCUCCUUGGCCUCGGGCUGAAGUUUAUCAUUCUUAAGUCGUUAUAAGUGAUCAUAUACUUGGUUCUAUGUGCCUUUGCAGUUAAUUAUCUCAACGUUAAAUUCCUGAAAUAACAAAAUCUAUCAUAUUAACUACGGUUUUGCAUCUUUGUUCACCAUAAGGUAUCUAAUCGUAGAGUGAUCCGAAUGCAAUGUGUUUUUUGAACCAAUGAUGUAACUUCUGAAUUNNNNNNNNNNNNNNNNNNNNNNNNNNNNNNNNNNNNNNNNNNNNNNNNNNNNNNNNNNNNNNNNNNNNNNNNNNNNNNNNNNNNNNNNNNNNNNNNNNNNNNNNNNNNNNNNNNNNNNNNNNNNNNNNNNNNNNNNNNNNNNNNNNNNNNNNNNNNNNNNNNNNNNNNNNNNNNNNNNNNNNNNNNNNNNNNNNNNNNNNNNNNNNNNNNNNNNNNNNNNNNNNNNNNNNNNNNNNNNNNNNNNNNNNNNNNNNNNNNNNNNNNNNNNNNNNNNNNNNNNNNNNNNNNNNNNNNNNNNNNNNNNNNNNNNNNNNNNNNNNNNNNNNNNNNNNNNNNNNNNNNNNNNNNNNNNNNNNNNNNNNNNNNNNNNNNNNNNNNNNNNNNNNNNNNNNNNNNNNNNNNNNNNNNNNNNNNNNNNNNNNNNNNNNNNNNNNNNNNNNNNNNNNNNNNNNNNNNNNNNNNNNNNNNNNNNNNNNNNNNNNNNNNNNNNNNNNNNNNNNUGGGAUGGCGAUUGGAAUUGAUUACUUUGGUUAAAAUUUAAGAUUAGAUUAAAAAAAUCAAUUAAUAGAUAAUUCCAUCCAAUCAAAAUAACUAAAUAAAAGACGAGAUUUGAAAAUAUAAUAUCCUAAUAGACACUAAUAGACUUAUAUUAAUAGAUAAUUUCCUGCCGAUGAAAAAUUACUAAAGUUGUACUAUAUUUUAUAAAUAUUUCAAAACAUUACAUAAACACUAAUUAAAGUUGGGUUUAGUAGCAAAAGGUUACAAAUUUAUUGACACCUUUUAGGAAAAAAAAUACCUUGACAUGAUGUAAACUAAAUUUGUAAUCAGCAUUGAAAUCUUUACUAUAUAAAUGGGCUCGUGGAGAAAAAAUUAUAUACAUCUAUUUUAUUCUUAAAUUGUCGAAAAAAAAUUAUAUUACCUUUUGUGAUCUAACGUAGUUGUGACUUUUAUAGUGUAAGUGUCCAUUUUAAUGUUUGGAAAGAUGAUUUUUCCAAUUUUUUAGUUUACAAAAUAAAGUUCUAUAUUUCAUAAAAUAAAACCUUAUGUUGAAUAUAUGUAACUAAUGUUGAUAGGAUGUGAUUGGUUGAUCUUCAAGAUACGAUGCAUUCUGUUUAGAGUGGAGAUGGUUGCACACACAUCAAAUUGGUGCAUUGAUUCCUCCAAAUUUACAUGUGAAAUGUAAAUGUAAAAGAAAAACAAAACAAACUCUUGCAGUUACACAUUAGGAAAAAAAACGUCACGAAAUUCCAAAGUUCAAAAGAAAACAAACAUACACAGGGAUUUAAUUGAUUCAAAGUAGUAACAAAUGGUGAAAAAAUGCAUAAUUUGUUGUGAUUUCACAUUAACAUGUUAGAAUAAAAAAUUAUCGUAUUCUAUAUAUUACAAUAUUGGAUCAAAUAUUAAUACAUUAAUUUAAUUAUUUAAUUACUACAUCAAUGAAUUUCUUUUUCUUUUUUAAAUAAUAAUUUUACCAUUAAUAUUAUAUAAUAUUUGUUUAUUAUAUGCUAAAGCAUAUUUAAAAAUUAAAUAGAAUUAAGAGAUUUCACGUGAAUUUAUGCACAUGUUUCAACUGAAAAGAUGGAAACAAUAGUCACAAAUUAUUUUUUCCUAAAACAAAACAUUCGUAACCAAAUCUAAAUAUGCACUUUCAUAACUAAGGACCAAAACUCAUAUUACGUAGAAUUGAGCAUGGUUUAAAUGAAAUUAUUAACAAAAUACUUACACUUUAAACCAGGUUUUUUGGCAACAUACAUAGUGAGAAAAUUCCAAAUUUACCCUCUUACUUGUAUCUUUUCAAUAAAAAGUGCAUCUUAGUUGUAAUUAUGUCAAAAUAAAAAUAAAAAAAUAACUCGUCAGUUAACGUGGUUAUUCAUUAAUUGAUUUGGGUGAACUUUCUGAAGAUAAAAAUAACAAAAACAAACAAACAAAAGACUAGAACAUGUUAUUUAAUUAUGUAAUUACAACUUCCCUUUCUCCUCCGUGAGAAAAAAAACCAUUUCUCUAAAUUUCAUCUAUAUAUGUGUAUUGAUCAAAUGACCCAUAUCAAUAAGGACACAAAAUUGGCAAAGAACAAAUAAAUUAAAAUGGACAAUAACUCUUGUUUCAUUACUUUCUCUCUCAUUGGAGUUCUUUUGUUCACCAUCAUUUCAAAUGUGGCAUCAUCUAACGACGUUGUUUCUACCAUCUGUUCAGAAAUCUCAAAUCCACAAUUUUGUUUAAGUGUGUUGAAAUCUGCAGGCACUACAGAUCUAAAAGGCUUGGCUGUAUACACCUUAAACCUUGCUCAUUCAAAUGCUGGCAAAUCUUUGAUCCUAGCCAACUCACUAGCAAAAGCCACCACCAAUCCUCAACUUAAGCAACGAUAUUCAUUUUGUGCUGAGAGCUAUGAUGAAGUUGUUGGUGACAUUGAAAAUGCUCAAAACGACUUGGCACUUGGGGACUUUAUUGGUGUCAUUAUUGCAACUACUGGUGCCAUGACAACUCUUGGUGAUCACUGUCAGAAUAAGCUCUUGCAGCCCGCCGAAGGAUACAUCGUUGCUUUUAAAGAAUAGCAACACUCUAGAUGAUAUAUUUAGCAUUAUUAUGGUUAUAUCCGAUCAUCUUUGAGGGUUAUGUACUUGAACAUUUUGAUCAAUAAAUAAACUGAAGUUUAAUUUUUAAAAUAAUAUUACAAUGUGAUGGUGAUUGGAAUUGAUUACUUACUUUGAUUAAACUUGAGAAGAUAAAGAAAAUCAAUUAAUAGAAACGUUCACCGACACACAUUGUCAGCACGUCGGAGAAAGCCUAAACUUUUUUUUCUUUUCUUUUACGUUCUGUUUUCUUUUCUUUGUUUGCCAUCAUCAUCAUCUUCUUCUUCUUCUUCUAGCUUCUUAUGUUCUGUUUCAAUUGCAUACUUCUGUUAUUCUUGUAAUUUCUUCGUGGUUUUCUUUUUAACUUUGUGUUUCAGUGUGGAUUCAUAAACACAUUUUUCAGUGCUCUGGAUUCUGGAUCUGUUAUGAUUUGAAAGGGUACAGUGAAGUGAAAAGUUGAAAUGGAAAAGAAAAAAAGAAGAAAAGAGGACACUUCUCGCGGUGGUGGCGGCAAAGACUGACGUCGACGACAACACAACUCUCCUCCUCUCCCUAUAUCUCGGCCGAUUUUGGGUUUAUUUUCGUUUUGCAUUCUGUUAUGUGUAGAAGGGAGAAUAAAUAGUGUGGACUUUCCCCGACAUCUUCGAAAACGUUGGGAAAUUUACCUUUCGCCGACGUAUGUAGUACACACGUCGGAGAAAGUUUAAAUAAUAAAUUCAUUAUUUAAACUUUCCCCGACGUACUCCUGUCAUACGAGUCUAAAUUAAAUUUAAUGCGUUCUCCUUCGGCGAUGUGUGUCAAGGUGACGUUGGAAAAAGUUUAAACACUAAUGCAAUUAUUUUAAAUCACAUAUGUUAUCGCUUAUAUGGCAUAAGAGUCUAUUAACGAUAGAAAUCUAUCUUGAUAGGUUUUGCUACAUUUACAAUUUUUAAAAAUAUUCUUAUAUACUUAACUAUUAUUCCUAAAAUUGCUAACCCAUUAUACUUACCCUAAGUUAAAUGUAUAAUGUCAAAAGUAAGUUUACUACGAAGGUAAUCUAUGUGACCCUUUUAUCCUAACGUAGGAAGUUUGUUCCACUCCAUACCAUUAUUGAACUAAAAGGAUUAAGUGUGUAUUAAUAUGUUUAAACAAGUAUAAUUAUAGCAAAAUCUAUAAGUGAUAUAUUGAUAUUAGCAAUACAAUACGCGUCACAUAUGCAAACAUUUUGUGUCUAAUCGUUGUAUUUACAAUUAACUCCAUUAAAAUAUUACAAAUAGAAAUAGAACUCUUUAACUAUGUUCAGUUAGGAUCACAAACUACAAAAUGAAAGCAUGGAACAAAUUUAAUUUUUUUUUUCUUUAAAGGAAAUUUUGUGUGUAGCACAUUAUAUUUUUUUCUUUCCUUUAAAAAACAUUAUUGAUCUUAUGAUAUUUGACAUAUAUUAUAUUUUUUUAAGAAUGUAAAUAAUGUAAAUAAUGUGCCAAAUAAUUGAAAACAUGUUAUCCAAAACAGAGAAUGGUUAAGAAAUUGUUGACAUUUAGUCAAAUUAAUAAAUAAUUCAAAAUUGUGUUUGAUUUUUGAAUUUGAAAAGAUAGUAAAUUAGAAGUGUUUUGAAAUAGUGUUUACGAGAAGAUUUUUAAUUUUAAAUAGCAUUAUAGUAGCUAUGGAUGGUUAUAUAAUAGUCUACACAAUCUUUGUCACAAAUGAUUAAUUCGAUUUUUUAAAUCAAGUCUAAUGUUUUUUUUUUUUUUUUUGCCUAUUUCUUACCAUAAUUUACAUUUUUUGUAAGUAUAAUGGUUGAAUGCAAAAAGAGAGCUGACUAGUAAGUGCAAAAAGAGAUCUCACAAGCUUCUGCAAAAGCUAAUCAAGCAACCCAAAUCAUAAACGAGGAGAAAAGUUGAUUGGUUAAGCUUUGUUGUAGUAAAGAAGUCAAAGUGAACAUGGAACGUUCUUCACUCUCAAAGAACAUCGCCAACAUAUAGAUUAUAUACUUUUUCUGGUAUUGACCCAAAAAACCAAUCCAAGUGUAUUUUUGGUGAGAUGCAUAGUUUAACUAAACCGUGUUAUUACAAAAUUUUUAAUUACUAGGAACUCCUAAUGAAACGAAUACAUUAUUUUUAUAAUUACGAGGUAAAAUGGAAACAUACAAACUACUAAAAAAAGUUGCAAUUCGAUUAUUGGGAUUCAAUCUACUCUCCAUGAAUGUUCUUGAAAUGAGAGUUUUUAAGCAGCUACAACUUGCUUAUGUAUAAAAGCAAAACCCUUCUCAACGCCUACCUUCAGUUUUGGCUUUAGAGCUUCAAGUGAUUUUUGCCCCUACUCAGAUAAACCCUGAAGAUCAGAUGUUACAAAGGCUUCAAUUCCACAUGCAAAAAUCAUGUUCAUGAACCAAAAGCACCUUAAGCUUCUCUUCGAUAUCUUUGAGCUCACUGGAUAAAGAACUGAUUUCUAAAGCAAUCAUCUCUACCAUAUCCUCAUCGUUCCCACUGUCUUUUAAUAAGGUUGGCAUGAUAAUCACAACAAAGAAGAAGAAACUAAGAUCAAUUUAACAAAUUUUAUGUUGGGAAACUUUUUUAAGAACAACUACUUAUAAACCAACCUUAGCUUUGGCCUCACAUUCCUUGAAUUUUCUAAAAGUAGAUACCACCUGUCCGGGCAACCCACACCAACCAACCAAGAGUAAGUUAGUGUGAAAGACACUUAUUUAAUGAAGAAUAUGUAAAAGAGGUCAUUCCAACUGUUACACAUAAUAGUAUUGGAGGCAGAUAACCUUGCCAUACCUCAUCAAGUUCUGAUAUUGAUUGAGCUAGUUUUUGAUACUCUGUGGGGUUUGAGACAAUAUCUGGAUUGACCAGCUUAACCUAAAUAAUAAUAUCGAUAGUGAUUAUUGUGUAGGAAAAUAUUAAAGCUAUAACCAAAUCAAAAGCAUAAUUGGAAAUACAGGGACGUCAACUGUUUUAGUAGGGGAGAAUGUCAAGAGCAUGCUUGUCCAAGGCAUUGUUUGCCCAUGGCCGCAUGGCCGAACAUCCUCAAACCACCUUAUAUUUAUGUCUUAUACUUAGUUUAGCCAUUUUGUUUCCUUUUGUUGUCGCCGACCUAGGGUGUGACGUUUCAAAAUUUUCAUAUGCAAGUCUAUCAUAACUAAAAAUGUUUAAAAUGUACUAUAGGGAAGACAUAGUAGUUGAAUCCCUGACCAAGCCUUGUUGCACUCUUUGCAUUCUAAUCUUUCUUUGCAAUUAACAGUCUUCAAUGCUUUCUUUAACGAUGUUUUCAAUUCUUUUCUUCUCUUCUUGUCUUAUAAAAAUAAAUUUCUCUCAAAACAUGAAAGAGGCUAUACCGUACUGCGUGCUUUUUGCGACUUCUGGAUUUCAUACAGCUUACUUGUUCACCGAGCUAGAACAAACGUCGCAUAAUCACCAUCCCCUAUUUGAAAAUUUACGAUUAUGACAGCAUGCGGUGAGGUGCACGCGGCAUGUGUGGGCCCAAGCCAAGCAUGCAACUGGCAUUCUGAUACUCUAUGCACGUGCAUGCUGCCUGCGCCCAUGCCGUGCAGCCAGCAUUGUCAUGACGUAGUUUUUGGGAUGUUUGGUGUUUUGGGAAAUUUUGAGCAAAUUCUGGAUGUUCGAGCAUGCGGAUGUUCUAUGCAAUGCAACCAGCAGCCCAUAUGUUCUAUGUUCUCUUUACGGUCGUAUGUACACAUUUGGUUAACUCUACUACUAAUGGGAAAGUUGACGAGCCUAUGCUGAAUUCAUCAGGAAAGGUGUACUUUAUUGAGCCCAUUGAGGAGAAGGAUACCUUCUUUUUUCGAAGAGGUGUUUCAAUGCCUAGGCCGUCUUUUGACAAUGAGGUGUUAAUAUUACCUAGACUUCAUGCUAAGAACGGGUUGUGAAUUUAUAAUCAAGAAUGCAGUUCGAGUAUCAUGUCUUUCAAAUGAUUUCCAACAGCUUGAAUGUUUCUAUAAGACAAGAAUUUAUGCUUAACUGUUUUAGAAAGCAUGUUUUAUAAAAAUUGUCACUCACUAAGUCUUUCGACUUAUCCUUUCAAAUCAUUUCUCACUUUUCAGGUAUGGAUUAUGCAUUCCCUAAUGUUAAGCGUAUUGCUGCUGAGCCAACCAGUUACUAGAAAUUGUUAAGUCAUUUUGAAAGUUAGUUUUGACUUUGUAAGAAAAGUUCAGGAUGAGCAUGUCUAUGUUUAUUGUUAAAGUUCCAAUGUUAUAAGUAGUUUAGUAAAAAGGUCACUGUCAUGUUUAAAGCUUCUGCUGAUGUAUCACAAUAGUUGUAACUAGUGGUUUAAGUUAUUAGUUUGCAUGUAGCUUGUAUCGCUGUUUGUUUUGAGCAUGCAUUCAUGUUGUAACUGGUAGUUAAGUUAGAAAGGUUAGUCGGUUGGUAAGUUUUGCCAAGGUAUGGCAAUCCUUGCCAACCCUCGCACCUUCUUUCAGAGCUAGAUGUUGUUCAGAAAAUAAGGAGCUUUGGGAGGGGGUGGUGACAACAACACCAUCCCACUAGAGUACGCAAUGAUGCAUUAUUGUUUAAUUAAGUCAUAUAUACUUCCACAAUUUGGAUAGGAAUUUAACUCAUUAGAAGGUGUCCUAUAGAAUUUCUCAGUGAAAAGUUCAGAGAAGCUACAAACAAAUGUCACUACCGAACAACAAUCAUAUACAUGGGUUAGGGCUUUGAGCAGUGUGAACACAACUUAAUAAUAAAUAUGAAGUCGUCCUCUUUUCAUCAUUAGUCAGAAGAAUUCUUAAACUUUCUAAAAAUAAUUGUCAAAUAAUUGAUUAUAUAGUAUGCCAUUUAUUUGGAAUACAAUUUUUUCAUUACCAGGAAAGGAGACUUCUCACUAAGUAAAUGUAAAGAGACUAAUGCUAUAAUUUGAAUUGGAAAAUAUAAUUUCAUAAUUAAGCAUCGAAUAGGGACUAGUUAAGAAGUACACACUUUAGUUUGCCAGAGUCCAUGUUCUACACAUGUUAGCCACUCUGUCAUUGGUUUAGCAGUAAAACAAAGGAUGUGUUUAGGAUGUGAGCCACACAAAAGGGAAAGAAAACAGAAGGCGCAGUGAGCCACACAAAAGGGAUCGAAACGAAUGUUCAGAAAUAUCGGAAGGAUCGAAGAAAUAUGGAAGGAAAGACGAGGAAAAACAACAGACCGGAGCAAGUUCAAGAAGGUAGAGAUCCCGAUCUUCAAUGGAAUAGACCCCGAUUCAUGGUUAUUUCGCGCCGAUCGUUAUUUCAAGAUACACAAGUUGACUGACUCAGAGAAGUUAAUGGUAGCGGUAAUCAGUUAUUAGGACCAGCUUUGGAUUGGUAUAGAUCAAUUGAUGAAUUGGAACAAUUCAAGAGUUGGGAAGAUUUGAAGCAAAGGUUGUUGUCCGAUUUCAGACGAUUCGGGAUGGAACACUCGUAGGCAGAUUCUUAAGGAUUAAGCAGGAAACGACAGUAGGGGAAUAUAGAAACAGUUUCGAUAAAUAUUUAGCUCCGGUAGCCUUCCUCCAGACCAUAGUAUUAGAAGAAACCUUUAUGAAUGGGCUAAGCCCAUGGCAUAAAUCCGAAGUUGAAACGCUGGAGCCCAUAGGUUUGGCCAAGAUGAUGUAACUAGCCCUGAAAUUGAAAAUAGAGAGAUGGUUCGUCGAGAAUGUGGGCUUAGUAGUGUUUCGGGAAUGAAUCAACAAUUCAAGCAUAAUAACGUAAAGCAAACCUCGACAGUAACACCCAAUCAGAAACCCACGGAAGGGAGCUGGCCAAUGAGAACGAUUACGUUAAAAAGAGUGACGGCAGAUGAAAAGAGGAGGGAAGGUCCGACCAAGCGUCUUUCCAACGCUGAAUUUCAAGCACGAAGGGAAAACGGUCUGUGUUUUCAGUGUGAGGAGAAGUAUCACGCUGGACAUAGGCGUAAGGUGAAGGAACAGAAGGAAUUACGGAUGUUAGUAGUAAAGGAAAUGGGAGAAGAACUGGAAAUCAUUGAGGAUGAACACUUUGAUGUGGAAACGGAGGCCCAGACCAUUGAAAUUGAAAAAGUGGAGAAUAUGAAUAUAGAGCUACCAUUAACUCAAUUGUGGGGUUAUCCAACCCUGGAACCAUGAAACUGAAAGGGAAGAUAAAAGAGACCAAAGUGGUAAUAAUCAUCGACAGUGGAGCCACCCACAGUUUUAUUGCAAAAAAUUUUGUAACCACCCUUAGCCUACCAAUGACAGAAACGUCCAACUAUGGAGUGAUUUUGGGAUCAGGGGUUGCGGUCAAAGGAAAAGGAAUCCGCAGUAAUGUUGAAGUGACGGUAGGAGAGUGGAAAAUUACAAACAACUUUUUACCCUUGGAAUUAGGGGUGGUUGCACUCAUUGGGCAUGACUGAAUUUGAUAUGAAAAAUUUGGUGAUGACAUUCCGACAUGGAGGAAGGAAGAUAGAGAUAAAGGGGGACCCUAGUGUCACCAAAACCCAAGUGAGCCUAAAGUCUAUAAUUAAGACAUGGGGAGCUGAUAAUCACGGUUAUUUGGUAGAAUGUCGGGCCAUGGAGGGAAGGCUAGCUGAGGAAGGCUUAGAGGAUGAAGAAGUGCCAGCCACUGUUGACAACAUGAUCUCUCCUCUGUUGAGCAAAUUUAAUGAUGUUUUUGAUUGGUUGGAAGAGCUGCCUUCGAAGAGGAACAUUGAGCACCAUAUACCCCUUCAGAAGGGGGUGGAUCCAGUUAAUGUCAGACCUUAUCGUUACGCACAUCGGCAAAAGGAGGAAAUUGAAAGACUAGUUGAUGAAAUGUUGAAGACAGGCAUCAUAUGACCGGGUACCAGUCUGUAUUCCAGCCCAGUCCUUCUCGUGAAAAAGAAAGAUGAUAGCUGGCAAUUUUGUGUAGAUUAUCGGGAGUUGAACAAUGUCACUAUCCCAGAUAAGUUCCCAAUUCCGGUCAUAGAUGAGUUAUUCAAUGAGCUGAAUGGGGCCAACAUGUUUUCGAAGAUUUAUUUAAAGGCGGGUUAUCACCAAAUCAGGAUGCAUCUGAGAGGUGUAGAGAAGACGACCUUUCGAACACAUGAGGGACACUAUGAGAGGUCAUGCCGUUUGAGCUAACCAAUGCCCCCUCUACGUUCCAAGCAUUAAUGAACCACAUCUUUAAGCCUUAUAUGAGAAGAUUCGUAUUAGUGUUUUUCGAUGACAUUUUGGUGUACAACAGGGGAGUAGAAGAACAUGGACAGCAUCUGGAAGUAGUCUUGGAGAUCCUUCGAGAGAAUGAAUUGUAUGUGAAUUUAGCCAAAUGUUGCUUUGCCAAAAGUAGAAUAGGUUAUUUGGGGCAUUUCAUAUCCGAAAAGGGAGCUAAAGUUGAUCCAGAAAAAAUAAGGGCAAUUAGGGAAUGGUCGAUUCCCACUAGUGUGCGAGAAGUUCGAGGUUUCUUAGGACUCAAUUGAUACUAUAGGAAGUUUGGGCAGAAUUAUGGCAGUAUCGAAAGCCCUUUGACACAGCUUUUGAAGACAGGAACUCAUUGUUGGACUGAAGAAGCAAGUGCUGCCUUUGAGAAGUUGAAGAUGGCAAUGAUGAUUCUACCGACGUUAGCUAUGCUGGACUUUAAUCUACCACUCGAGAUAGAAACAUAUGUAUCUUGUUUUGGUGUGGGGCCGUUUUAGUACAAGCCAAGAGACAAAUAUCCUUCUUUAGUAAAACCUUAUGCAUGUGGGAUAGAGCGCGACUGGUUUAUGAAAGAGAAUUGAUAAUAGUAAGUGUUUUGCGGUGCAAAGGUGGAGACCAUAUUUGUUAGGGAAGAAAUUUACAGUGAAAACUGAUCAGAAGUCGCUCAAAUUUCGGCUAGAACAAAGGGUGAUUCAACCCUAAUACCAAAAAUGGAUAGCCAAUCUUUUGGGAUAUUUCAUUUGAGGUAGUCUGCAAUCCUGGGAUUGGAGAAUAAGGCAGCCGAUGCUCUAUCUAGAACACCCCGUAUAGUGCACUUAAAUCAAAUAUCAGCCCCAACACUACUCGAUUUAGUGGUGAGUCAAGAAGAGGAAAAGAGGGAUCAAUACCUACAGGAAAUCCAGAAGAAAAUAGAAAGAACAAAAAGUGAAAGUUCCAAACUUUUCAGUACAGCAAGGGGUAUUGAAAUACAAAGGAAGGUUGGUGAUGUCAAAAACAUCCGUUCUACUACCCACUAUUCAUGCAUACCUAUUCAUGAUUUUGUCUUUGGAGGACAUUCAGGGUUCCUAAGAACGUACAAGAGGAUGACCGGAGAGAUUUACUAGGAAGGAAUGAAGAAAAACAUAAAGAAAUACUAUGAAGAAUGUCUUGUAUGCCAAAGGAAUAAAACACUUGCAUUAUUACCUGCUGGAUUGCUGCUGCCACUUGAGAUUCCUAACACAGUGUGGUCGGAUAUUUCCAUGGAUUUUAUAGAUGGACUUCCAAAAUCAGCUGGAAAAGAAGUGAUUUUUGUGGUUGUAGAUUGUCUGAGUAAGUAUGCACAUUUUUACAGCUAUAAAUCAUUCUUACAUGGCCAGCUUCGUAGCAGAAGUUUUUGUUAAAGAAGUGGUGAGAUUGCACGGGUAUCCGCAGUAAGUUGUAUCGGAUCAAGACAAAAUCUUUAUUAGUCAUUUCUGGAAGGAAAUGUUCAAGUUAGUGGGAACUAAAAUAAAUAGAAGGAAAUGUUCAGGUUAGUGGGAACUAUGCCACAUACACCAAGUUCGAAUAUAGAACUUGCUUCUUACUGAAAAAAUAAUGAUUAUUGGGACUUGCUAUAAAGGGUAUCCAAUACUCGAAGUAAAUGAAUGAUUACAAAAUGAUUGUUUCCUCAGUUUGAAGAAGAACAACAAAAAAGAAAAGAAGGAUAAAAAAAAAAAAAAACAAACUUUCUUUUUGAAAUUCUAAAAGAAUCCAAAAAGACUUCAAAAGGUGCAACCAAGAAAGGAGGUCAAAGAAGGGCUCUGAUAGACCCCCCUAUCAUACGUCAAUAUAGUCGAAAAAAAAAGAGAGAGAUCACAAGGGAACACACAUGCGAAGAAGAAAAGAUUUAAAGGACUGUUAGAAGAAAAGAUUUAAAAAGCUUGUUGGGCGUCGGUUAGAUUUGAGGAGAUUUAGGAGGGUCGUUAGGUGUUGAUUAGAAUAAAUAAGGAUAGGGAGGAAAGAGGAGGGUAUGCUGAGUUUAGAAGAAAAUUGACUCAUGCUCUUCCUUGAGCGAUAGGAUAGCAGAGAGGGAAUUAGAUUGUUUUUCGAAUUGAGUCCUCCUCAAUUUGAGUGUUCUGAUAUUUUGAUUUUCCUUGUAACUCAUUCUUUGAUUGAAGCAAUAAAAGUUCUAAUUGGAUUUCCAAAAGAGUUCUAUCAAAUUGGUAUCAGAGACAGUUUUUUCUGACCAAGAGGAAAAUGAUGGUCCAAACACGAAUGAAGGAGAGAAUGGAGGCGCACGACCAGGAGAUGCAUUUGAUGAGAAGCGAGAUAAGCAAAAUUUCGACAAUGAAAGAAAUAUUAGCCACGAUCAGCGUACAGACAAAGAAGACUCACAAAAUGUUGAUAAUGUUCAUGGAAUCGAUUACCAGAGAGCAUAUCGUUAUGAGUGAGAAAAUGGCCGAGUCGAGUGUGCGAGAGACAGUAUCAACAAUAACGAAUAAGAAGGAAGGCUCGAUCGAAAAGGACCAUGAGCACGAAACAAAGGAUGGAAAGAUAGAAGGAGAAGACGGAGCGAACGAGCAUAAUAAGUUCAAGAAGGUUGAGAUGCCAGUUUUCAACACGGAAGAUACCCAAUUUUUGACCCUUUCGAGCAGAUAGAUAUUUUCAGAUACACAAAUUGACUGAUGCUGAGAAGGUCCUGGUUGCGACCAUUAGUUUUGAAGGCCCGACGCUGAACUAGUAUAGGGCGCAAGAAGUACACGACAAGUUUACCAGUUGGUCGAACCUCAAGGAGAGAAUACUCAUCCGUUUUCAAUCAGCAAAAGAGGGGUCCAUAUGCGGACAAUUUUUUAGGAUCGGAUAACAGACGACAGUAGAAGAAUAUCGAAACCAGUUAUAUAAGCUGAUGGAACCGUUAUCCGAUCUACAAGACAGAGUGGUGGAGGAAACAUUCAUGAACGGUUUACUGCCGUGGAUUAAAGCAGAAGUGGAUUUUUGUCGUCCGGUCGACGUGGCUCAAAUGGUGCACGCGGCUCAACUCGUAGAAAAUCGAGAGAUAAUUCACAAUGAGGCCAACCUUAAGGGGUACGCCCAAGGAAAAUAUCCGCCUCAAGGUUCUAGGCAAAAUACGAGUGCUGCGACGGUGAACGAUAGCGACAAUAAGAGAAAUACAUUAUUUUCGAUGAGAACGAUUACUCUGAGAACGACAUCCAGAGAAGUUAAGAGAGGGGCAGGCAAAGCGAUUGUUAGACGCGGAGUUUUCAAGUCAGGAAGGAAAAAGGACAUUGUUUUCCGUUGUAAUGAGAUAUAUUAUCAUGAUCAUCGAUGCAAAAACAGAGGGCAAAGAGAGUUGAGAAUGUACGUGGUCAGGGCGAAUGAUGAAGAAUUUGAAAUCAUAGAAGAAGUGGGAGAAAAUGAAUUGUUUGGAAAUCACAUAAGAAGAUCAUGUUGUCAUCGAACUGUCAAUUAAUUCGGUGGUGGGGCUGAACAAUCCGAGGACAAUGAAGGUGAGGGGGAAUAUCAGUGAGCGAGAAGUUUUCAUUUUCAUUGAUUGUGGAGCAACGCACAACUUCAUCUCCGAAAAGAUAGUAAAGGAGUUACAACUGGCCACGAAGGCAACGUCGCACUAUGGUGUAAUCUUGGGCUCGGGGAAGGCGAUAAAAGGUAAAGGAGUAUGUGAGGACGUGGAAAUCAAGUUGAACGGGUGGAAGGUGGUGGAAAAUUUGUUACCCUUAGAAUUGAGAGGGGUAGAUGUUGUGUUAGGAAUGCAGUAGUUGUAUUCAUUGGGCAUGACGGAAGUAGAUUGGAGGAACCUCACAAUGACUUUUGUGCAACAAGGAGAAAAGGUAGUGAUAAGAGGAGACCCAAGUUUGACCAAAUCCAGAGUGAGUCUCAAGAACAUGAUCAAAAGUGUGGAAGGAUUCGUGAUCGAGUGCCGAGCAAUGGAGAGAGUCUUUGAGCCACAGGAAGAUAACGGGAUUGAAGAAGUAUUAACUACUGAUGAAGCAGUAUCGGUCGUGUUGAAGAAUUUUGAAGAUGUUUCUAAUUGGCCGAAGACACUACCCCCGCAAAGAAAUAUUGAACAUCACAUUCAUUUGAAACAGGGCACUGAUCUGGUAAAUGUUCGACCCUAUAGAUACGCUUAUCAACAGAAAGCUGAGAUGGACAAACUUGUGGAUGAGAUGUUGACAGCGGGAAUUAUCCGUCCCAGCAACAGUCCAUAUCUAGUCCAGUUCUAUUGGUAAUGAAAAAAGAUGGCAGCUGGCGUUUUUGCGUAGACUACCAAGCGCUGAACAAUGUAACCAUUCCAGACAAAUUCCCUAUUCCGGUGGUUAAGGAGCUUUUCGAAUGAAUUAAAUGAAGCAAACUGGUUUUCAAAGAUUGAUUUGAAGGUGGGGUACCAUCAGAUCAAAAUGUGUGGAGAAGACAUCGAAAAAGCAGCAUUCCGAACACAUGAUGGACACUAUGAAUUUAUGGUUAUGCCAUUCGGCUUAACUAAUGCCACAUCCACUUUCCAAGCUCUGAUGAACUCAACAUUCAAACCAUUUUUGCAGAAGUUCAUAUUAGUGUUUUUCGACGACAUACUAAUCUACAGUGAGAACUUGGAACACCAUUUGAAGCACAUUGGGUUAGCAUUGGAAAUCCUGAGAAAGAAUGAGUUAUAUGCAAACAAGAAGAAGUGCAGCUUCGCACAAGAACGUAUUGAUUAUUUGGGUCAUAUCAUUUCAAGACAAGGAGUUGAAGUGGACCUUGAGAAAAUCAGAGCAAUCACGGAAUGGCCUAUACCCAGUAAUAUAAGAGAGGUACGGGGAUUCCUAGGCCUCACCUGUAACUAAAGAAAGUUCGUUCAGCACUAUGGCUCCAUUGCCGCACCAUUGAUUCAACUACUUAGGAAAGGGGGAUUCCAGUGGACUGAGGAGUCUAAGGAGGCAUUCCAACAACUACAAAAUGCGAUGAUGACCCUGCCCGUUUUGGCGUUGAAAAAAUUUCAAUGCCACAUUUGAAAUGGAAACCGAUGCAUCGGGAUAUGGGGUAGGAGUCGUACUCGUCCAAGCCAAGCGUCCCAUAGCAUACUUUAGUCAUACGUUAGCCUCAAGAGAUAGAGCCAAGCCUGUACAUAAAAGGGAAUUAAUGGCAGUGGUCUUGCAUGUGCAACGAUGGCGACCAUAUCUGUUGGGGAGAAAAUUUAUUGUGAAGACCGAUCAGAAAUCCUUGAAGUUCUUGUUAGAACAAAGAGUGAUACAGCUUCAGUAUCAGAAAUGGGUAGCGAAGCUAACGGGAUACUCAUUUGAGGUGGUCUACAAACUCAGCUUGGAGAAUAAAGCAGUAGACGCCUUGUCUUGGAUGCCUCCUACAAUUAACCUCGGUAGCAUAACAGCUCCUACAUUGGUUGACAUUCUGGUGACUAAAAAGGAAGUCAAAGCGUAUGAAAAAUUAAGCAAAAUAAUGGAAGAACUACAAGCAAUGGAAGAAGUAACAGAGGGUAAAUUCUCCAUCCGACAAGGUAUGUUAAGAUAUAAGGAUAAGUUUGUGUUGUCCAAAACAUCUACAUUGAUACCCACAAUCCUACAUACUUACCAUGAUUCGGUACUUGUGAGGAAUGUGUAAUAUGUCAGAAGAACAAGUCCCUAGUGUAACGAGCAUACUUGUCCAAGGUGUGUUUACCUAUGGCCGUAUGCUCCGAUUAGCCCCAAUUUACCUUGUCUUUAUGUCUUGCACGUAGCUUAGGUAGUUGCUUUCAAUUUCAAGUCGAUAUGCUUGGGUGUGACGUUUCGGCAUUUUCAUAUGUUAAAAAUGUACUAUAGGGGAGGCAUACCUGUUGAAUCCCUGCCCAAGCCUUGUCGUACUCUUUGCAGUCUAUGCUUUCUUAUUGCAAUUGACAGUCUUCAAUGCUUGUUUUAACAACGUUUUCAAUCAAUUUAAUCAUCUUUCAUGUUUUCUAAAACUAUUUUUCCAAGAACGUGAGGGGAGGUUGAAGUAUGUGUUAAAGUUGUCUGCGAUUUGCAGAUUUUGAUCGGCUGACUUGUUCGCCGAGCUAGAACAAGUGCCGCACAAUCGUUCACAAUCGUGUAUGGGUUUCGUAAGGGUUACACAGUAAAGGAAGAGUAAGAAUUUGAGUGGAGAAACUCCAAUUGGGAUCAACACGUGGGCAACAACAUGGCUUCUCACCAACAUGAGAACUCAAAAGAGACAGCAGAUAUUCUAGAGAAGCCAAUGAACUCUUGGGAUGUGAAUCUGCACUUUCCUGCAAUAGUUUGAGUGUGAAUUAGUUCUCUGAAAACACCUGCAGAGGAUAAUCCACGGCAAAACAGAAUAACUAUAAAAAAACCACUUGCAAGUAGAAGAAAAAGGAAGUACAUUUAUACCUUCCCUGUCAAAGUGAUAUCCCUCAUCAACGGAUAUGCAUUUCUUUCCAGGAAGUAGCCAACAAUUUUACAAACCCAUGGGAGUUUAGGUUGUAAUAAGAAAACAAUUGUGUCCAACAAUAGAGUUGCAGGUGUGUUAGAGUUCACAGGUGCAGCCAAAAGUUGAUUCCUCAAUUGGUUUCUAUCAAGAACAACAUCAAGUAAGAAUAAUUCGGAGGAAAAAUAAAGGCAACUUAUCAUAUAUAUAAAUAUGAUUAGUCUGAAUUCGUUUGCGGAAGGUAAAAAAACCUUUAUGUCAAUUAUAUAUAUCUGAACAAAAUCUAAGAAAUAUAUCACUUUUCAACAAAAGAAAUAUAUCAUAUACAAUUAAAGGAUCAUAGCAUAGAAAGCCAACAAAAUCAACAAUGAUAGAUCAAACAUCUGUUUUUCCAUUCAAAACGUUAAAAAGGAUAAGUUUUUAAUAAGGAAUGUUGAAAUGGAAAAAACUAAUUACCUAUUAUGGUGUACAAUCUGGAUGCAAGCAUAUGCAAAUUUCUUAACUCUGUAAUCCACUAAGGCCUUGUUAAGUACAUAAUCCUUGCUAGCGAAAAUGCUCAACAUAUCCCCUAUAUAUGUAAGAGAGAGAAAGGUUAGAAAGUACUAACACUAAGAGAUAUGUGCUAUCAAUUAGAAACACUUUAAGAUGACAUUAUCAAUUAGAAAACCAAGUAUUAAGCAACAUAAGGGAAAAUAACAAACAAGGGCACCACAGUGGUUCAGAAACCAAUCAAUAUUUCCAUUUGUCACUUUUAUAAUAAUUUCCCAAGGGAAAAUCCUCAUAAUAAGCUUGAGUACCACCUAAUAACGUGUUCAAAUGUUACCAUAAGCAAAAAUGAGUGAUCCUAAAAUUCAUAUGACAAGGAAAGUCGUCAACUAGCAACCGCCAAAUAACAGUUAUAUGGCUAGAAUUAGUUUUCUCCAACUUCAAGAAAAUAAAACAUAUUAAAACAAAAGGAAUUAUGGUGCAAAAUAAUGAAUAUGCUGCAAAGGUAAGAAGUUUCUGAAGGUAAAAAUGGUCAAUAAAAAACAACAUAUAAUUUGACGUAAAUCAAAGUAGAAUUAUUUCUCGCAAUGAAUUCUCUGCCAAUAAUGGCUAAGAGAAGGGGUAUUUAUUGAGAAUUAGUUGGCCAGGCAGAAAUCAUCUAGGGCAUAGUAUUGUUUUAGGUCUGCGACAUUAAAAACAUAAUGAAUGUGUAAGUCUGGUGGUAGUUCUAUUUUGUAAGCAUUAUCUCCGAUCCUCUUUAGGACACGGAAUGGUCCUAAUUGUCUGUCUUUUAGUUUGUUGUAUGUUUCGGUUGGAAAUCGAUUUUUUCUUAGGUGAAUCAUUACUAAAUCUCCCUUGGUAAAGGUAGUUUGUCUUCUUUUUCUGUCUGUUGCGUCUUUGUAGGACUGAGUUGUUUCUUUUAGGUGAUUGUGGACUUCUUCGUGUAAAUUCUGGAUUUUUUCUAUCAUCUUUUCUGCCUCUGAUAGUUAGGGAACUCAACACAUUUUACUUGACCUAACCAAGAUGGCUCUUUGUAUGUAUAUUGCAUGUGUUGUUUGUUUUUUUCUAUAGCUCUUGAUUGUCUCACUUUUUUACGUUUUGCAUUUGCAAUUCUCUUUUCUUUCUUUGGUAUGCAAUGUGGUAACAAGGUCUUGCUAGAACCGGUGGGCUAACCUUUCUAUGGUUCUAAACUUAGUUUCUAAGUUUGACUGCUCCCUUCGGAGUGACAACAAGCCUCGUUUUUCUCCCUACUAUGGAACGGGAGGAUUCAUUUUCUUUUCAAAGCCCUCGUCAAACUCAAUGCUAAGUUUGACUGCUCCCUUCGGAGUGACAACAAGCCUUGUUUUCCCCUAAUGUGGAUCGGGGAGGAUUCCUUCUCUUUUCAAAGCCCUCAUCAAACUCGAUGUUGUGUUUAGAACGCUAAGAGUAGGUGGUCUGGUUUUGGUUAGGCCAAAAGUGAAGUUUUCCCCCAUUUUUUAUGGGCUUUUUCUAAUGUAUAUUGGAUAUGUUGUUUGAUUUUUUUUAUAGCUCUUGAUUGUCUUACUGUUUUAUGUUUUGCAUUGUCAAGUCUCUGUUUUCUUUCUUUGGUAUGCAAUGUGGUAACUAGGUCUUGCUAGAACCGGUAGGCUAACCUUUCUAUGGUUCUACAUUUAGUUCCUAAUUAAGUUUGAUUGCUCCCUUCGGAGUGACAAUAAGUUUUGUUAAUGUCGACCCUUUUCUAAAGGGAUUUAGUUCACUGUGGCUAGGCAAGAGGUUUCUAACUCAUGUUUGACAAGACAAAUUUGUUAAAACCAUCUUAGUUUCUAAAGAGUGCCUCCUAUCCCUUUUUUACUCUAUCUAGGCUAGGUUUGGACUAAGUGCAUCAUAGGUAAGUCACGACAAAGCAACAAAGGAAGACAAAGCUAGAAAAGUAUUCAUGCACUUAUUUAUUAUACAUGCAAUCAAGCAUUCACAACAUACAUACCAUUUUCUCAAUCAUGCAUUCACACCUCAAUAAGAAAUAGCUAAAAGGAGCUUACAACAAAAAAGACAGCCGCUUAUUCUCAAAUUUCAGCACAUAUACUCAUCAAAAUUUAGAAUUUCACAUUGCAAACCCGAGCUCAGUGCUCAAGGGUUGCCAAUCAUGCUUUUUAUGCAAGAUCUAAUUAAGCUAAGAAGGUAUAAUGCUCAUUUUGUAUGGAAAGAAUUCUGAAAUUUUUUUUAAAUUUGGGCAAAAUUUGAACCCCGAAGUUUAGACUAAACAUGCAAGCUAAGCAAGCUAUUACCCACACCCACUCAAAAAAUUGCUUUGUCUGUCCUAAAAGCUUUUGAAAAUCAAAGUAAAUGGAGAAAAAUAAGGGGGAACUUUGGACUCCCCUAGAAGGAUCGACAUCCUUGACUUUGGUUUGAAGCUUGCAUGGAUAAACCUUUUCAUUCCUUUUUAAUUGAUUAUUCAUCCUUGUUCCUGAAAAUCAAAGGAAAUUCUCUCAAUUUUAUAUAUUACUAAAAUUAGGAUACAUAUAAGUCUUAACUAGUCUAAUAGCACCCUCCAUUCAUCUUCCCCUACACUGGCUAUGGUAUCAAAAUUUUCAAUUAAGUAAUACGUCUACUAACGAACUUGAAAACAAAACACAUCACACUAAAAAACACAAACAUCACUUUAACCCAACAGAAGCUGCUCUUUUUACCCUUGCACUCACUAUCACAUUACUAUCAUGUUUGUCAACUGUCAAACUAACUCUUUUAAGUUAUUUAGUGUGACUACAAAGUUAUGAACACCAUAAUCUUAAUUAAAACCUUUUAAUAAACAAAUGCCAAGUUACUACUCAACAAUGGCAAGGAAUUCAAAAAACAUGACUGUAACGACCCAACUUUUCUAGGUAAGUCGAAGUCAUUAAUUUCAAAUAAGGACCUGAGUUUACACAAAAUCUCAAUCUCAAACAAUUUCAAAGUCUCAAGAAAAACAAAAAUUAUAUACCUGGGCCCGGUUUAAAAUAACCAGCACCUUCAAGACAAAUUUACUAAUUCGUGAAUACAGUUCAACUAUAAAAUUUUCUAAACAAUCUCAAGUACUAAACAAAACACGUGAAACAAAACAUUUAGCGGAAGCAAUUUAAUAUAAUACCAAUGGCAAUCACGCUUCCUUUCUGCCCCUCGCCGGUU
This 82438-nucleotide long non-coding RNA is filed under the name Cucumis sativus (cucumber). RNAcentral describes it as "long non-coding RNA (CSAT_LNC002348)". The record is from RNAcentral. Lineage: Eukaryota; Viridiplantae; Streptophyta; Magnoliopsida; Cucurbitales; Cucurbitaceae.